Molecule: long non-coding RNA, 57396 nt
Filed under: Vitis vinifera (wine grape)
Lineage: Eukaryota; Viridiplantae; Streptophyta; Magnoliopsida; Vitales; Vitaceae
Description: long non-coding RNA (VVIN_LNC002075)
Rfam family: tRNA (bases 31863-31935)
Source: RNAcentral
CCUAAUCCUUACCCCUCUUCCCCUGACGCGAAGAUGCAGAUCUUCGUGAAAACCCUAACGGGUAAGACCAUAACCCUUGAGGUGGAGUCCUCUGACACCAUCGACAAUGUGAAGGCCAAGAUCCAGGACAAGGAAGGCAUUCCUCCGGACCAGCAACGCCUCAUAUUCGCCGGGAAGCAGCUCGAGGACGGCCGGACCCUAGCUGACUACAACAUCCAGAAGGAGUCUACCCUCCACCUGGUGCUCCGCCUCAGAGGUGGCGCCAAGAAGAGGAAGAAGAAGACCUACACAAAGCCCAAGAAGAUCAAGCACAAGAAGAAGAAGGUGAAGCUCGCCGUGUUGCAGUUCUACAAGGUUGAUGACUCCGGCAAGGUCCAGAGGCUGAGGAAGGAGUGCCCCAACGCUGAGUGUGGCGCCGGCACUUUCAUGGCCAACCACUUUGACCGUCACUAUUGCGGUAAGUGUGGUUUGACUUAUGUUUACCAGAAGGCCGGUGGUGAGUGAGAGAGAUGGCGCCGUCUCUGAUUUCAUCUUUGCUCUAGGAUAUUGAGACCAAUAAUGAGGUUUAGGACUUGGUUUGGUGGAUUUAUCAUGUUUUGUUAUGCUUUAUGAUACUUUAAAGUCACAGUUUUGGAGUUCAAAAUGCUGUUUCAGUUGUUAGAUUCUGGAUUAUCGUUGUUGAAUUCGAUAUGGUCUGAUAACUUCGAUGGGUUUUUACAAUUGAUCACAAUGCUAUUAUUUUGAUUCUAUGUUAGUUGAUUUGUGGGCUAUGAUUACUUUUGUUCGGUGACUUGGUUGUUUACACUGAAGCCUUUGUCCUCCAUCAUGGAAGUGCGAAAUUCUCAACCUCACAAUAUGUUCCAACUGCAUUUAUUUUAGUUGCUUUGCUAAAAACUUGUGAUCUCUUAAAAUUUUGAAGCUUAAUACUCUGUAUUCUGGCCAUGUGGAUGUGGUAAUCCUUUUAGUUAUGAUGAUCUGCUGCUAAGCAGCUCUCCGAAUAAACAGAGCAAAGGUAAUGAGUUUUGCUUCUUAUUGAAGCCCAAACUGGCCUAUAUUUUGGAAGUCACUGUUUUGAUUUUUAUGUCCUAUUAGUCUUGAUUUGGGGAAGAUGUGUUUUAGAGAUGUGCUUGGGACUUUGUAGAGCUGACCAGUCCAGAGGCACUUCCCUCCAAUUUAGAACUUCAAACAAUGGUCCCUUGUGGAAUAAGUUGAGGAUGGGUGGGGGGAAUUUGACAAAAUGGCUAUGUAGCUUAGUGGUAACUAUGGAUUUGAAGGAAAUCUCUUGGGAAAGGAUCAAAUCCCCAUCUUGCCAAAGGCACUAUGUGGCUCUUCAAGUCCCUCUGAUAUCAUUGGAGAAUAAAAAUUCAUAUCUGAUGGAGGUUGUUGCAUUGUUUACCCAGUCAUAUUUUAAGUAUUAAAAUAAAUCUCAACAUGCUAUUCUGACUUCAGUUCAUGGUUUUAUAAAGCACACUUAAAGCGUGCCAAGGCCCAAGGUGCAACCACUUCCCAGCUGUAGCGCCUCGCUUGACAAUACAUGGACCUUGUUGAAGAGGCAUGCCUUGUCUACUUUACUUUUCCUUUUUAAACUCUUUUAUUUUUGAAAUUUCUAAUUAUGUAUUGAAAUUUAUAUAAUUUCAUUACUUGUUUGUUUUAAAUAUUUGGAAUCUUAAAAUUUUUAUUGAUUGGAUUAGAUUUUGAAUCAUAUUUUAUAAAAUUAAUAUGCAUCUUAGGUCAUAUUUUACUUCACUCAAGUGCGCAUCUUGUGUUACGCCUUGUGGCUAAGUUGUAGGAGACUUUUUGUACCUUAGGUGUGCCUUGUGCCUUUUAAAAGUAUGCUUCAAUUACUAUUUGGUUUUCUUCUUCUAUAUGUGUGUGUGUAUGUAUAUAUAUAUAUAUAUUUUUUUUUUUGAUAAAUAAGCACAUAGUAUAUUAGAAGAGGCAAAGAAGCCAAGAAGCAUACAGGGGGUAUACAAGGCAACAAGGCCUCACAACAAAAACAAAAAAGAGCAAGGAAACCCUUCUUCUAUAUGUGUGUGUGUAUGUAUAUAUAUAUAUAUAUAUAUAUAGUCAAUUGGUUCAUUUAAGAUUCCUUUUAAUGUUAGAGGUUUUGUCUUUCCUUGCCCAAAUAAUUUGCAGCAAGGGCUAAGAAUUGGAAGUAGUCCUAUCUGAGCAUUUGUCUUAAUUGCAUUGCAAAUGGUAUUUAAGGUCAAACUAAUCAUAAAUGGCAUCUGUUGUAUGCACUGUUAGGAAUCUUAGCUUUAGGUCAUGAUAUUCGAAUCUUAGCAAAAGCAAAUCUCUCAUAAGGCAACAAAGUUUAUUAAUGCAAUAAAUAGGUUAUAAAUGAGCAAGGAAUAUCCAUCUUUUUGCUAAACAGGAUGUAUUGAGCUCAUAAUUCAUUAGAUACUUUUAUUAAAUAUCAACUAAGUAUUGUAAGGGAAUUGCUCCUUGUUGUUCAAUCAUUUGACAACUUGUCAUUUGUUGAUAAAUGAUCACUAUAAGUCAGACUCAGUAGUAGGUACAUCUUGUUAUGCAAUAGGUUGCUUGGUUUAGGUCUUGGUUCCAUCUUUUGCCUGUUUGUUUUGAUCAACUCCUGGUGCCCGCACUUUCUAUGUUUUUCCUUUGCUUUUGGUUGGCAAUGUUAUUCAUGCUGAUGCUUGUAACACCAAUGAAUUAAUCAAUCCACUUCUGUCACCAUCUUUGUUUAUGCACUUGGUAAUUGGGGGUGGGAUGCCCCUACCAAUGGCGGUUAAGACCCCUUUCAAUAGCUCAAGCACCAGCUUAUUUACAGAUAAAUGUGUCAUCUAGUAAAUACGAUGAUGUUCUGAUAUAUGCGGAGGAUCUCGAGUAAAUAUGAAAAAUAUUGAUGCAAAAAUACUUACACAUUGACUGAAAGAUUUUCCGCAUUCAUUGUGUCAUGGAGGUUGACAAAUCUACUCAAGACAAUUUUAAUCUUGAACUAAAAAUCAUAUUGAAAAGGUGUUAUAAUGAGUGGAAACCAAGCAAGCAAGGAAACGUGAAGACAGCACCAAAGCGCCAAGAUAGGCUCGCAGUGUGGGCGCCUGAGGUUUGAAACAGAGGUUCCAAAUGUCAGAUAUGGCUAUGUUUCUGAUUUUGGGAUUAUUUCAUCCCUUUUAACCAAAUAUAUUUCUUAUUCAUACAAGGCUGUUGAAACUGACAAUUCAGUCACCUCAAGGGAGGGUUCUAGUAGAACGAAUAAUUGAAAUAAUUGUACAUGGGGCUUACCAUUGUAUGACAUGUUUAUUUCAUUACUGGCCCAUGCUAUGAAAUUCAUUUCUUUCUCUUCUCAUAACAGAUUGAAUGUGUGAGGUUUGGAGGUGAGAGAAUAGAUCUCCCCACAUUCAACAUGAUUCAAAUAUUAAUUUGAUUCAUAAAUCAAUUGGACUCUGUAGUCCAAUUCAAGUGGGGGUUCAAAAAAAUGUGUAUCUAUAGCUAACCCACAAAAAGGUUGAGAAACUGUUGGGAAGAGCCUCCCCUAGGCUCUCUGAUGGAAAAGCUUGGGCACUGGCUCAAGCCUGCAAGAUGUUCAACAACCACAUAAUUUAUGGAAGGAAUGCCUGAGCAUUCCUCCUUUAUAUACAUAAGCAUACCAAACAAAAUCAAUACAAGUCUCAACUUAAACAGACGCUCAAUUUCGAGAGCAACCUGGAACUAAUGAACCCUGAUGAACUCGUGGGGGAAGAAUCUCGAAAAAAUUGAAAUUUUUGCUUUCAUGAUCAGUGCAAAGAGUCCAUAACAGGGGAUGUGAAGAACAGCCAAGCAGAAAUACCUGCAGGAUGGACACCGACUUCAGAUAUUGUGUAUUCAUGGGUUAAGGCAAAGAAUAGGAUGAAAUGGCGUAGAUGGUUUACCAUAGAGGCGCCCAUUGUGUUGAAAGCUCGAGGAAAGGGUAUGGCCACCUGAGAGACACGAUAAGUUCAGUCUUGAAGCAAAAGUCUCAGAGCAGAGAGGAUGAUUAAGAACAAUGCUUACCAUGAAAACCCACAAGCGUGGAUGACCCAUUGGAAAAUAACAUAGAUACAGCUCCAGAGCACAAAGUACGACAACCGGAACCAUGGGAAUGGCUGGAAAACAAGAUGGACAGUCGCUUAAUUUUUAUCAGUAGGUUAUUAACUUCUUGAUGAUUCUAUACUUACAAGGCUAUUGAGGCUGGUAUCAAGGAGGAGGAAGAACGCAUUCAUAGUAUGCAUGCAUCCCAUCAACUGCCAACCAUAGAUCAAACCAAAAUCAGUGGAAAGAGGAGAGUGAAAAAUUCAGUGCAGUUCAUGUAUAGUUAAAAGGGAAGGGAUGCCAUUCCCUUCAUCUUUAGAAGAAAGGUUCCUCACCAUGUUCAGUCCAAGGUGUGCAUUUGACAGAAAUGGGACUAUUACACACCAAAAUACAAUGUCUGUUAGGAUUACCGCGCCCGCACAAGUCUGUUGUUAUUGCCCAAGAAGAAAAAUUAGCUUCAACCCGCAUAAUGAAAUUUCUUCAUGAGAUUUUGCAAGAAAACACUUUCUACAAACAUUAGACAGAAAAUUAAAGCUCUGAUUUCUGUGCUGAAUUCUUCUUAGGCUAGUUCAUGAACUGACCUGAUACGCGAUUUGCAUAAGAUAUCCCAACAAUCCUGCUCUCCGCUGAAUCGCCUCUUGGUCAUAGUGGCUUUGCAGCUUGAUGGUGCCUCUGAUUUCUUUUGCCCUGAAUAUCACAGCAGUUGAUGACCUACUCUCUUCCAAAUCCUCUGUAACCCCAUUCUCAGAAGGUGGUUUCAUGGAGUAUACCCAGCAUCCAUAAGCAGACAUGCAGCUCCCGAGCUACAAACAGAAACGAUAUAUAGAGCUAUAUUUAUACUUGUUAUCCAAGCCAUAUGACUGCAUCUAUGUAGUAACCAAGAAACGAUUUUUGUUCUAAAGUAGAAGACAUACCGCAAAGUAUACUAUGACUAAUGAAAAAGUCCACCUGCAGAUCAAAUCAUAUCACAAGAGUACAUCAUCAGAUUAAGAAACAAAACUCAGAUAAAAUCUCUAAGAUUCUCAGCAAUGUAGCAGCUGGGCAGUUGCAUGCAGAAUUUGAAUGUGAAACUCAGCAUUCAAGAUUAGUUGAAUUCAAACCAUAGAUGGUGGAAACGCUUCUCAAAAUAAGUAGUUUGAUAUGAAGUCCUUUUUAUCAUCCACUCCUCACAAUAAAAACAGUUGUCUUCUAUACAAAAUGUUCACUAAUGAUUCAUUAGGAGAGAACAGGAGUGUUGUUGGGUUCUUUAGACUCGAUUAUCAUUUGCUCUUAAUUCUACAAAAAGUUGCAUAAUCUGUUGUUCCCAUCUCAUUUUUCCUAUGACAAUAGCAAGGGCUUCAAACAACAGAUGAUUUUUAUGCAUUUUGUUAUUCCUAACUGAUAUGCAUUCUUCCACAACCCUUAGAAAAGUUCAAUUUUCCCAAAUUAUAUUAAAAAUUUUCUUCGUCAAUAUGAGGGAAAAUUAUGCUAAAGAGUUCUGUAAAUGAGUGAAUUGGCAUUCAAUCAACUGAAUCUUAUCUCUUAAAUCAUGAGGGUUUCGGUUAAUGAAACAUUUGACUAGUACAAUCGUACCGAUUGUAGUGAAUUUUUCUAUUAUCUUCUAUAUCUAGAAAAUUAGUACUCCAAUGGGCACAAAUAUACAGGAACAGAGCACAACAUGAACAAGAACAUCAAGAGAAAUUGAACAAAAUAUAAAUAAAAGAGAAGAGCUUACUCUGUGUAAUAAACAAAGAUUGUAGCAUCCCAUUUGAGGACGUCCCAGGCCAAGAAUCCGGCCAUCACAAAAAAGGAAACCACUCUCAGAAGCAACAGCCAAACAGGGUGCACCCCUCUCCAACAACUGCUCCAUAGCUGUGAAGAGCUCACAUGGCCCAGCCUCGUGGUACCCACAUACCCCUCACAGUCUGGCCUAGCAACCAACAAGCUCUCAUACAUGGUUCUAUCUUCAUAUUUUCCGGAACCUUCCUUAUUCCAUAUCACCCAGAGAGAGCCACAGAAGGCCGCAGCCACUAUCCCAAAACAAAUGAAGUCGUACCAGUACACCACCAUUGCCAUGGUCGAUGAACACACCACCUUGGCCCUUGCCCAGAAAAAGGAAGAUCAAGGAUCCAAAGGUGGAAGAUUGGUAGUUCCAAAAAUUGGUAUUUUGACGGAAUAAACCCUGGAAUAUGGUGUGUUGUGGGAGGUUCAGCUGGAGGUCUGAUCAGGUGGGACUGGUGGUUUUGACUGUCUGGUUUGGUGCUGCAUUCAAAAGUUGUUAAGGGAGUGAAGGCAUGUUGACCCUUAGGAAUUUGGCCGGUGACAGCUCUACAAAAGGAUAUUAAAUUUUAUGGCUGAACAAAUUUUUCAUCCUAAACUUCCAUUUUCAUAACCACUCAUCCAAUAAUUUGGGUCAAUUUUAAUAAUCUAAUGUAUUAUUCAAUCUUUUUUUUUUCUUUUCUUUUCUUCCUUUUUACCGGAGGCUAGUUUGAACCUAAUAGCUUGUUUAUUUUUGUAUUUAUAAAUUAGUGAAGUGAGAAACAAAAUAAGAAAAUAAUUGAAUACUUAUUAUUUAAUGAUUUAAGUUGAUUUUAAAUUAAAUUAUACUUAAGUUCUUAAUUUAAAAUUUAUUAUUUAAUUUUUGUUUUAAGUAUUAAGAUUAUUUAAUAAAAUUAACUUAAAAUAUAUUUUAAAUAAUUAAAUUGACAUAUUUAUUCUCAUAAAUUAUAACUAACGCAAAAAAGGUCAAAUAACAGUAAAAAUGGUGGAGUAGCAAAGAAGAUCCUAGAAGUAUUAGGAGAAACGAAGAUAAAAAUAUAAAAUAAAAAUAUGGAUUUAAGAAUAAGUUAAUUGAUUUUAUUUAUUAUUUAUAAUUAAUUUUUUAUUUUAAAUCAUACUAUUAAAUUAUUUUAUUAAAUAUACUUAAUUUACUUAAUAAUUUAAAUUAAGUUAUUAAACUUAUUUAUUAAACACCCGCUAAGUUUAGAGGAUGUACUCGUAAAUUGAAUUAGAAAAUAUUCUACUUGAUUUUGGGGUUAUAUGUAUUUCAUUAUUGAAGCUACAUGAUUGGCUUGAUUUAUUGUAGAAGUGUAAGAAGAUAUGUACUUUAGCUUAUUUUAAGACAAAAGUCCACCAUGAGAUGUGAAGUGAUUGCAAUUAGUUAAACAAAAUUAUUGCAACAAAUAUGGCAAAAGUUCAUGCCACUAAAAUACUUGAUCGUGGGGUUGGGGACAUACUAUAAAGACAAAAUUAUAUAAAAAAAAUUCUUUUCUUUUUAAUGGUAAAUGGGUGCGAGUAAAUUAAUUUAAUAAUUUAAGGUGACUUAAUAGUUUAAUUUAAGUCAUUCAAUAAAUUAAGUAUAUUUGAUAAAAUAACUUAAUGAUAUAACUUAAAAUAAAAAAUAAUUUUAAUAAAUAAAUAAAAAUAAUUAAUUUAUUCUUAAAUAUAUAUUUUCAUUUUAUCUUUUUAUCCUCAUUUGUCCUAAUAACUUAAUGAUAAGACAAAAAUUAUUCAAAAUUCAUAAAAAUAUUUGAAAAAACUAAAAAAUAAAAAAAAUAAAAAAUACAUAUAUUAAAGUUAUUUUGUAAAUUUAAUUAACAUAAGUAUAGUUAAAGAGAAAAAUAUUAGUAAGUAAAGAUACAUUAGUCUUAAUAUAUAAUUUAUCAUUUAUCUUAUCAAAUUAAUUUUAAUUUAUAAAAUAUUAUAACUUCAUUAUUUGUUUUUAUAUUUUAGUAUUUUUUUAAUAAAUUUAUAUUUUUAAUAUUUUAAAAUAAAAAUAUUUAAAAUUAGAAGGAUAAAUAUAAAAAAUUUAAAAGUAAAGUGAUAGUAAUUUUUUAAAAUAUGAUUAAUAAGAUAAAUGAUGAUAUACUUAAUAUUAAAAUUAUAAUUUAUUUAAUUUAAAUGCAUUUAAUAAUGUAAAAUAAAUAAUAAUGAAUAUGAUUUUUUAAUAUUUAUAUUUUUAUAUUUAAUUAUUAUAUAAAUGAUAUAAAAAGAAUUGUUAAGAAAUUUAUAAUAUUGGUUUUUAUAUUUUUAUUAAUCAAUUAAAUAAAAUUUAAAAUAAAAUAAUUGUUUUAUUUUAACCAUUCGUGUUGGCCCGUGCUUCCGAAAUAUCGGCGAAAAAUCGUGUUGGCCCUCACCCAUGACACACAAACUUAACCAUUCAAGCAAGCUCAGUCUAAAUUUGUUUUCUUUUUCAUUGUCCUUUCCGUUGUUGAAUUGUUGUUUUUUUGACUAAAUAAAAAAAAUCAAAAUAUAUUCAAUUUAAUUAUAUUAAUUAAUAUCAACAGAUUAUUUUAAGUUAAAUAAAAAAAUCAAAUAUUUUGAUUUUUUUCAUUUAAUCAAAAAACAAAUACCCAAAAGUGUAACAUAUAUAGUAAAAGUUUUUCCAUGAGCUACUAUGAUACAAGGUUUGCAAAAAACAGGCAAGUAGCAAUAGAAAUUAUUAUAAAAUCAUUGGUUUAUAAAAAUAUUAAAAUAAAGGCAUUUUAGUCAUAUCUUAAAUGAAUAGCAGUCGGUCCUUUAUAUGAAAUAAAAUAUAUUUUACUCUUUUUAUAUUCAAAAAGUAACAAAAAAAAAACCAUGUGUUUUUAAAUAUUUUGGUCAUGAUACACCUCAUCUUAAUUUUACCAUAAAGUUGGCCCAUAGUGUGAUGUAAAUAUAUUAAUAAAAAAUAUAUAAUUAUACAAAUAUACAUAAAGCUUUAACAUGAGUAUUUCAAUAAUGCUUAUAUUUAUAAAUGAGAUAAUCAUUCUAUUAUAUUAUAUAAAAUAUUAUAAAAAAUAGAAAUUAAUCUGAACCAUUUUAUACACAUUUUUCUUAUUUCUUAUAUGUAUACUAUUGAAAAUCCUCUCAUUCUAUCAAAUAUCUCUAGUCCUUCCUCUUAUCUCUAUCUAUAACCUAUAAUCUUCACAAACAUAUCUAUCUCAUAGCAUUUUUUUAUCAUGACCUAAAAUAUUUAUAGAUAUUUUACUACUCAUUUUUUUAUUUUAUAAAAAUAUUUAAUAUUAUAAUAAUAUAUUUAUAAAUAUAUAUAUAUAUAUAUCAUACCCAAUAGGGCAUAGAUAGAAUCUGAGACCCUUUCCUACAAGGACAUGGGUGUAGUCAGUCUAACAUUUAUGGCAAGAGAGAGGGCAGAAAUCUGGUGAGUUUUCAUGCUCAUCGUGGACAUACCCUUCCAAGUUUGCACAUCUGCAGUCUCACAGUGCCUUGUCUUUAGACCGGCAAGUGGACGUUGAUCCCAAGAAUUUUGGUGUCCUCACCCCAAAAUUAAGCGAUCACAUGUGCCAUUAACAAUGCUAAUCCUUUCAUUUGUGGUUGCAUUUAAGUAUUUAAUAAGAUCCUCCACUCCGCCCACACUUGACAAUCCCUGCAUCAACAAAUCUACCCAAUACCUUGGCUGGCCAGAGUACAAAGAUGACGUUUUACUCCUGCCCAAACACCAAUAUUCAAUCACAACAUGCCAAGUUAUGGAACACAAAGAUUGAAGUUAGAGCUGGAAGUGAUGAUACUUCCACAAUAGUUUACACAUCAAACCAUGAGCUGGAAAAUGGGCACCAAAAUAAUCAAUUUCUCCUCAUCUUUUGUUUUGAAGCCUCAAUCGAAAUGAGCAUUUUUAAGGGUCAUGACAUUGGCAAACGAGACUUAUGAACUGAAGAAGUGGAAAUUAGAAAAGAUCUCAUUGCAGAUUACAAGGAAAUGGCACAUGGGAACUGCUAACAAAGUUUGACUUGCCCUGCAAGUUGAGUUCAAAUUUACAAAGAAGUUCAAAGAAAAAAAAAAUUAAAAUAUUUGCCACUCAUCCAUAAAAUAUUGGCCCAUUGACGAACUGUGAUGAGGCAGUACUGCUCUUAGGAAGCCGAGAAGCUGUGAUUAACCACUGUAAACCCUCCAUCUAUGGCCAAAUUAUGACCACUGAUGUAAGCAGACUCAUCAGAAGCAAGAAAUACAGCAGCCUCUGCGAUGUGCCUGGCCUUCAACACAAUGCCUUUCAGGUUGGAGAGCGCUAGAAUAUUAGCUUCAACUUCACUUGGCUCCAGAUUGUAUGCUCUACAAGAAAGAGGUGUGGCAGUUCCAAAUGGGGACACGCAGUUGACUCUAAUCCCAUACGCCCCCAGCUCGCUGCAGGCCGCUCGAACAAGGCCUAUGAGAGCAUGCUUUGAGGUGGUGUAAGCGUGCGGGCCGGCUCCCCCAAGUGCGGCUGCGACACUGGUAGUGCAUAUGAUGGAUCCUCGGAUACUUCUAGCCACCAUGGCUCGAGCCGCAUGCUUGAUUGUGGCAGCAACUCCGCGGACAUUUGUAGCCAUGGUGUUGUCAAAGCCCUGGAGGUCUAGUUCUAGAAUUCCGGUUAAGGGGCCUAUGAUUCCGGCAUUGCUGAACAGAACAUCCAGGCUUCCAUAUUUGUCCAAGGUGUAUGCCACUGUCUCCUCCACCUGCUUCUCAUCUCUUACAUCGCAGUGUCGGUAACUAACCUUCUCUGAUCCUAUCGAGGAAAUAACCUGAUGGCCUAAUUCAUCUUGAACAUCAGCUACAACAACAAAAGCCCCAUUCUCUGCAAAUAAUCUCACAGCCUCCUCACCAAUCCCACUAGCUGCGCCAGUCACAAGUGCCACCUUACCCUCCAACCUAUCAAACCAUAUUCAUCCAUAAAACAUCUUUGUGAGCAAAAAGGGAAAGGAAAAUACAGAGAUGGAAAUCAAGAAUCAGACAUUCAAGUAGAAGAAAACUCACCUUGGCCUAGACAUUGUUCUCUUGAUGGGUGGCUCAAAUCUUACAAUUAGACUCUUGGAUCUGGCAGUUUAUAUUAGGAUUGUAGUUUGAUAAAUUAUUAGGUUUGCAAUGAUGCUGAGCUCGAGAAAAUAACAAGUGGAACAAACUGUAUUAGCUCAUUAACAAUUUAUUAAUCCCCUUUCCAUCUCUUCAGUUAUUGUAGCAAUUGGUAAUAAAGUAAGAGAGACUAAACACAUUCAGUGCUCCCAGCCAUUGCCUUGGUUCAAGUCAACUAAUCAUAAAAGGCUAAAAAAUUAAAAGAAGCUUGCUCUGUUCCUCUGUUCCUCUGCUUCUCUGUUAUUGAACAACUUUUCUCAGCAAAAGUUUUAUAUAGUUCUCUGGAUUCAUUGGCUUAUUAUUAAAAGCUAUUUAUUUGUCUACUUUUUAUUUCGAAUGGAUCCAUGAUCACAUGAUCACUUUAGCAUCAUUGUCCCCUUGGUCUUGGCCAUAGAUCGGGUCUUCAGAAAAACAAUUCCCUGAAGGGCUUUUUUCCGAUCUUUUUCCUAGGCUACAAUGAUUGAUUAGCACUAAUAAGCAUGGAAAUCUUAAAACCUAUGCACCUCCCCUUCCCUCCUUGUGUCACAACAAUGCAUAGGAAAAGUAUAGUCACCGUCUUUUAUGCAUCAUGUCUGGAUCCAAUGCUUGUGCAACUUCACUGCUGGGCUCACUCUUUCAUGGAUUAGUAGGCUUAAUAGGCUGCGGUGCUCGAGUUAGUGACAUCUCCUGUGUAUCAACAGAGUAUUAACCUCGGUUUCAGGUUGUGCCCUGUAUUUAAUUGUGAAAAUGGUACCAUAUGCAAUGCAUCUUGACUUUUCAAAAUUGAAAAAUUAAUGGCCCUGAUUUAAUUUGAUAAUCUCAGUGUCUGUAAGAUGAAUUGCACAUGGAUCAACAGCAUAAAAUCCAUGGAGUUCAAAUACAGAAUUUGUGUUCAACAUAUUAUUUCCUGAGUCUGGACCUAGUAGUACUUAGAACACUAACCCCUCCAUCAACAGCUAAAUUAUGUCCAGUUACAUAAGCUGAUUCAUCUGAAGCAAGAAACAGAGCAGCCUCAGCUACAUGUCGUGGCUUCAAAAUAAUUCCCUUCAACUGUGAGAAUGAAGAAGCUGAUGCUUCCACUAUACUUGCGUCUACAUUGUACAUGCCGGUUGACAUGCGCGUGGCAACUGCAAAAGGAGAAACACAAUUGACCCUGAUCCCAUACUGCCCUAGGUCAUCAGCAGCUGAUCGGACAAGGCCGAGCACAGCAUGCUUGGAUGCAGUAUAUGCCGGAGGCCCAGAGCCCCCCAGUGUUGAAGAGACACUCCCUGUGCAAAUGAUGGAACCGCGUACUUGCUUUUCCACCAUUGCUCGAGCCGCAUGCUUGAUGGUUGAUGCGGGUCCUCGAAAAUUUGUAGCUAUGGUAUCGUCAAAGCCAUCCAUGUCCAUUUCAAGGAUAGAGCCAAUGGGGCCUGUAAUGGCUGCAUUGCUGAACAUGAUGUCCAGGGUGCCAUACUUCUGUAUUGCGUAGGCCACAGUUUCUUCCACUUGCCUUUCAUCUCUAACAUUGCAAUGGAAGUAACUGGAUUUCUCUGGGCCAAUUGAAGCAACAACCUGAUGACCCAACUCAUCCUGAAUGUCUGCAAUCACCACAAAAGCUCCAUUCUCAGCAAAUAACUUUGCAGCGGCCUCACCAAUUCCGCUGGCUGCCCCUGUGAUUAUUGCAACCUUACCCUCCAACCUGAAAACAUAAACAACCAAAAGGUAGAAUUAAGAAAAUUAUCAACAAUAUAUGUAUCCAACCACUUCCAAUUAUGUAGAUGCCGUCCAUUUUAAGCCUACAUGAGACAGAGCUGGUCAUUACAAAUGGUAUCAUAACUAUGCUCUCCAUGCUUCUGCUAUGCCACUCUAAUACCAUUUUUAAUGACCGGCUUCAUCCCAUAUAAAUAUAGUCUACUCUCUGGAAUCAAAGCAGAGAAUAUCUAUACUAUUAGAAACGGGUUGUUACAACAUAGAACUUGAGACAGAGAUUGCUACCUCGGUUUAGCCAUUGAUGGUUUGCAGGGAGUUUCUUCUUGAGGAAUGGUCUGGUUCAAUGUGCCUUUUACCUUUCAUCUUGAGCUAAUAUAAGCCUUGUGAGGCAUCUCCUUGUUUUGGAUGCAUGCAAAAGAGUCGCCUUGGUGCAGGGGCAUGUUUUUGGUUUAUGUUUGUUGUCAUUGAAGUAGUCGGCAAAAUAUACAAAUUUAUGUUUAUGUCUUCCUCAGUUCAAUCGACAAACAAGGCCUAUUUUUCUUUUUCAUCCUCGCUUUCUUAUCGUUUAGCUGCCCCUGUAGUUUCCAUAUGGUUUGUAUCAGUUUAGCCGGCCCAACUCUUAUUCCCUUCUUUGAUGGCCGUUUAUAGAACUGAAUAAAAUUAAAAGAAUGAAAAUCAAAAUCAAGAAUUUAAAUUUUAUAAAAUAAUUAUGUGAAAAUAAACUAAUAUCUUAAAUUUUGUAAAUAAUUGCAUAUUAAAAAUAAUUUAAAAAUUUUACUAAAAUAUGUGAGUGUUUGAUAAAACUUAAUAUUUAUUAUUUAAUCAAUUAAAUUAAAUUUAAAUUAAAUUAUCCUUAAUUAUUAACUUAGAACUUAUUGCUUAUUUUUUUACUUUAAUUAUUAAAGAUUAAUUGAUAAAAUUAACUUAAAAUUUAUUUUCAACUAUCAAAUUGACACAUUUACCUUCAUUAAUUUUAACUAAUAUUUAUCCUUAUUGAUUUUAACCUAUAUUUAUUUUCUUUAAUUUUAAAUAAUUAAUUUAUUUGUAAAAUAUCUAUAUUUAAAAUAUGGUAAGAUAAUCAUAAAAUAUUUAUCACAAAAAAUGAGUAAUGGAUGUGAAAUCAUGAUACAAAGUGUGAAUAGGUAAAAAUAUUUAAGAUUAAAAAUAAGUUAAUUAUUUUGACUUAAUAUUUAAAAUUAAAAAUAACUUUAAGUUGUAAUAUUAAGUCUGUGAAACUAAGGUUUGGUUAAUCUCGGUUUUGAUGAUAAAAAAACAAAGUUUAGAACUAAUGAUUAUAUUUCAAGUACGAUUAGGCAAAACGAUUUCUAAAGUGGCAAUCACAAAGACAAAUCAAGCCAAAGAGAAAUCAUGAAGAAAAAGACCACCUCAAAGAGAAGUAUUUUUCAAGACCCAAAUUUCAUAAGAUCUCUUUGUAAGGUUGUUGGUACAUUAGGAUUUCCAUGCAUUACAUUUUUUACUUAUGCACCGAAAUCAUCCAAGAGUUAUUUUGCUUUAAAUAUUUUUAAAAUUGGAUGAUUUCAUGUUUUCAACUAAAACCUUGUGUCAAAUGUUUUUUCAAACUUGUUUAAAAGAUUUUAAGUUGAAAAAGUUGGUUGUUGAACCAUAUGAAGAACCGAUCGAUCCCCAACUCAAUUGGUCGAGGGUGCAAAAAAAAUUUCUCUUUCUUCCAGAACGGUUGUUCAACCGGUCAAGGUUGAGGUCCGGUCGAGGUCCAACAAUUACCUACCAAACAUUAAAUGCUAACGACUAGUCAACCUGUCGAACCCCCAAUGGCUAGUUUGGUUUUUUUUCUUCUAUAAAAAGACUUCUAUCUUCAUUGUUUCUAGAACUUAACCUUCUCAAACCUUUCUUGAAUAUAUUUGAGCCUUGGAAGAGUGUUUUGAGUGCACCAUUGUUCUAAAACUUGCAUAUAUUUAAUACAUCAUUCGAUCCUAAUUUUCUUAUAUCAUUUGAGCUUAAAGUUUUUGUACUAGGAUUUUUUGAGAUCAAUUGUUGUUCAAGAGUGGGGUAUCGAUCUCUUGAGAAGUAUAAAGGGUGCUUGGAGCCAAAAGUCCAAGAGGGUGGAUUGGAACCAUAAUUCAAUUGUAUUACUUGAAGGGUUGGUUUGGAAGUCUUGAAUUUACAAAAAGAGACCAUCACCAUAUUCGCCCCCCUCCCCCUCUUCUAGGAUGAUUACCAUAGGUUGGAUUAACCUAAUUUUUCUACCAAAGUCAUUUUAUUAAAUAUGGUUUAUUUAUUUAGGUGGUAUUUGUUUUUUUUUUUUUACUGAAUUUAAAAAUAAAACUUAAAACUAAAUACUGUUAAGUAUUAAGUUAUUUGUUUUUGUAAUAUUUAUAUUAAAUACUAAAAAGUAAAAAAAAAAAAAAAAAAAAAAAAACCUAAUAUGUUACUUUUUUUCAAUCAUUGAACCGAAAAAGUUAUCGAUUCACGGUUUAUUGGUCGGACUGGCGGUCGAAUUGCGGUCGAACCGGUGACAUCAUAAAUAUAUAUUUUAUUAAAAUUAAUAAAUUAAUAAAUUCUAUCUAUCAAUAAGCUGGUAACCCAAGCCAUUAUUUGAUUUCAAGUUAGGGAUUUACCCCAAUUAAUGAUGUCCAGCAGCAAAUAACAGAAUAAUCGAAAUGAAAGAAUGAAAAAAAGCUUGCCCAGCCGUGAGGGGGGGGGGGGGGGGGUUCACCAGUUGGACCACCAGUUCAAGCGAUCCAACCUCGGUUCAAUCCAAAUCUAGUUCAAUUGAUCGGACCAGACCAGAACCGUGACUGGCCGAUGGUUGGAUCGAAACUGUGACCGGCCGGUACGGUUUGAUUUUUAAAACAUUGCUUUUUUUCAUUUAGCAAAAGUCAAAAUAUUUGACUUUUUUUCUUUUUCUAUUCAAUAAAAAAUUUAUAGUAAGUCAUAAAAAAAAUAUAAAACAAAUAACCUAAAGUCAAAAAAUAAAUCACUUUUAACAAAAAAACUAAAAAAUCUGAUUACUUAAAUUAAGUUAUUAAAUUGAUUUGUCAUAUAUCUUUUUAGUCAUUUCUCAAUUUUCUCUAGACUUUUAUUUGCUUAUUAAAUUGUUUUUCUAAAUAAAAAAUAAAAUAAUGUUAAACUUUUAUAUUUAACCACAAAAAAAUAGUUAUUGAAUUUUAUUUUUGAGAAUGUUAUAUUAAAAUUAUUUUUAUAAAAAAUAAUAUAUAUAUUUUAAUAUUUUUAAUUAAAUAAAAAUAAUUCUCCUACGGCAUUUAGUGAAAAAUAUGAGUCCUUUCAGUAGGAGUAAAAAUUUGGUAAAUAACAACUAACAAGGGAGAAACUACUAAAAAAGAGUUGAGAAUUCAAAAUUAUUGUGAAUUACAAAAUUUAGGAGGGUGAGGGUGAUGGGGAGGUGAGAGUGGCAAAGGCGUGUCCUAACAAUCUGUUACACGUGGCAAGCUGAGACGUGCAGAAUCGUAACGAAAUUUGCAUGGGGUACUGCAGCAGGUGGCCUGGGAUUCUGCACCACCACAACGCUGAGCGCAAUCCUAUUCCGUACGGGGCUAUGGCGUGAAAUUAAACCUUCCAAGGCUACAGCUGGUAAACUUAGUUGCCAAAAGAAGUAUGGAUGAACAGGAACCAUAACCAGACAGAUUGAACUAAAAUGGCCUGUUUGGCUUUCGAGAAAGCACGGGAAAAUGAAAAAAAAAAUAAGGAAAAUAAAUAUAGGUGAGUAAUCUGCAUUCUGAAAUUAACAGAAAUAACUCUUCCAUUUAAGAAUCAAAGCAACAUCGUCCAAGAACCAUGGAAAGAAACCCUAAAUCUUCUGCAAAGAAACCCAAAAUGAUAUUUCGCUGGCGCAGAUUCCAUUCAAAGUUUCUCACAUAGAAAGCACCAGUGAACCCUAAUCUACCUUCUACUGUAAACGAACCCAAAAAAGAGUGGAUCUCAUUCUAAUAUUAGGAAGCAUAUUGUAAAACCCUACUCUACUAAAGAUCAUUCCAGACAACUAAAAGAACCAAAGACAAAGAAAACGGUAAUCAAGAAAUCUGCACCAGUUGGUCUCGCUAGUUCUUCUUGUUCUUGUUCUUGUUAUUCUUCUUCUUCUUCUUGGGAGCAGAAUGAUCCUUGAUCAUAUCGUAUAGCUGAGUCCCGAUGAGAAAGCAAAGGUAUGGAUCGACAGUAGCAUAGGCGGCCUUCUCGCAGGUGAGCACUCUGUCGUACCAGUCGUAAUGACUGAUCCUAUCGUACCACUUCAUAUCCUUCUCUGGCCGAACCACAUCCAUGUGCUUCCCCAACACCGCCUUCGCCAGCCGGUCUAGAUCAUAGCGACCAAGAUCCAGAUCCUCCCUUCGCAGCCCCUCAAAAGCCAAAGUCCCCAAAUCCACUGUGUUCACCAUCUUCAACCUUUGCUCCCGCAGCAUCCUCUUCGCCAGCGUCUUCAUACCAACACCAACAGCAACAACGUUUGGAUCAGAGAAAAACUCCGUCACGCACCUCGGCGGGUCGUCGCCAGGCUCCGGCAACUGGUAGAUGAGACAUUGCGAGCCGAUGCAGAGCUGAAGGAUGCCAUAGGGAUCGUCACCGGGGUCGCUGCAGGCGACGUUUUUUAACCAAUCGGCUUCAACCUCGGCACAGACGCCGACGACUAUCUUCCCGUGGCUGUUCCGGCAGCUUUUCAAAACUUCUUUGAACCACUUGGCGGCGGUGAAAUCACAGAACGUGGAAAUGGUGAAGAUGCGAUGUGUGCGCUCGUUCUUGAGGUCCUCCACGAACACUUUGUAGGCGUGGUAAACAUAUCUCCUAUCGUCUACGACGUCCUUCUUCGCUGUGAUUCUCAGCAUCGUUCCUUCACCAGAGACACAGAAACACAAACAACCGGAAAAGAGAGACGGUGAGAAAGGUAGGGUGAGGUGAUCUCUUUUUCCUUACUUAGAGGCGAAGUUCAAAAAUGAAAUCAUUUCAUUUUAGUUUCACUGGCUUGGGUAUUUAUUAUGUUGUAAUUUCAUUAAAUACCAAACAGUUAAUAUGUGUUUGAUAAUUGAAAUUCCAAGUAACUAAUCUCAUAUUUUCAUGUUGUGGAAAGUAUUAAUUUAUUAUUUUAUUUUAUCUUAAAUUUACCAUGUCUUCCAUAUACUCUUCUUUUUUUUCUUAGCUGGCAUCAUAUUCCAUUGAAGAAAUAGACAUGUAAUGAUUUAAUAAUUUAAUUUUUAUGUUUUAAAUAAGAAAAAAAUUAAGGUAGUGUUUGGUUGAAAACAAUUUUGAAUUGUAUCAAUUUUUUAGAGGAUUUUUGAAUUAAAUUUGAUGAAAUAAUCCUAAAUUUGUAAUAAUAAUCUCUUCGGUAUUUGAACUUUGAAAAGCAAGAUAUAAAUGUCUUUCAACAUUUGGAUUCUUUUUAUAUAAGUUUUAGAAGAAAAUAUUACUUUUACUUGUGAAGAUGAAGUGUACUUUUAUCAAACAUAGGUCAUUUUGUAAGUUAAAAUAUAUAGAGAAUUAAAGUUGGUUUGGCGCUUGAUUUAAAAAUAAUUUUAUGUUUUUUAAAAUAGAAAAUUGUUUUGAAAACUUUCUAACACUAUUUUGAUUGCUACUAUUUGAGAAUAAUUUUUAAAAACAAAGAUAAAUAGAUAACAAUUUUAGAAAAUAAGUAAAAAUUAUUUUCACAUGUUUUUAAAAAUAAAAAGAAAACAUAAAACGAUUUGAUUAUGUUUUUUUAAACUUAUUUUUAUUUUUAAAAAUCGAUUCAUUCAAUUGUUGAUUGAUCGCGAAUUACUCUAAAUGAACGGUUCAAAUUAUCCCCUUAUUUUGUAAACAUGAAAGGCGAGCCUUAUUUUAUUAUGACAAAGUCCACACCCACUCCAACCAUUUUGUGGGCUAAGGCUUGAGCCCAAGUGAUGCAUGUGCCCUCUGUGAGGAUGGCUUUUAUAGGCAUCUUUUCAUCCUUAUUUCUCUCAGAAUUCGAUGUGGGAUUGCUAACUAAUAUCAAUGAAAAAAAUAUAACAAAUCUCCACUAAGAGGGCUUGAACCUUGGACCUCAAGUCUAGUUAUCAACCUAGGACACCACUCAGCUAUAAAACAAAGAAAAUAAGUAAAAAUUAUUUUCACCUAUUUUUUAAAGUAAAAAGAAAACAUAAACCGAUUUGAUUAUGGGUGGGUAUUGGAUCGGUCAUGAAUCACCUAAACCAGUGAUCGAAUCGGUGACCCGGUUGAACCAGAUAGUUCUAAACGAAUCGAACGAUUCAAGUUAUCCCCUUAUUUUGUAAACAUGGAAGGGUUCCAUUGGGUUUAAGUGUUUUUGGCUAAAGCCCAUGCUGACCUGUCUUAUUAUGACAAAGCCCACACCCACCCCAAACAUUUUGUGGGCUGAGUCUUGAGCUCAGGUGAUGCAUGUGUCCUCAGGUCCUGUUAUCAACCUAGGACACCACUCUACUACAUACAUUUUGUCAUCAAAUAUGCCAAACAAAAUAAUAUAUAUUAAAUUUUAAAUUUUUUUAUAAUAUUAAAUAAAAAUAAUAUAAUAUUUUUAAAAAUGAUAAAAUUAGUUUAAAUUUUCAUUUUCAUUUUUAAUAUAUUCAUAUUUUAUUUAAUAAAUUUUAAAAUAUUAAUAUGAUUUAAUUUGAUAAUAUCAAAGAUAUAAAAUAAUAUUAAUGAUUUUUAAUUUAUUCAUAUAUAUUUAAAAAAAUUUAUAAUUAUUUUUAAUUUUAAUAAUAUAUAAAUUAUAUAUUCAUGAUGUCACCGGUUCGACCGUGGUUCGACUACCGGUUCAAUCAAUGAACCGUGAAUAGAUAAUUUUUUCAGUUCCAUGAGUUCAAUUAUGAAAAUAUUGUAUUUUAUAGUGAAUUGGAAGCUUUUAAGAACUUGACACCUGGCCAAAUAUGUCUCUUCCUUAUUUAUAAACUACCAUCUAAGUCGUUAUUUGUAAAUGUUUACAAUAAUUCUCUAGAACAUUCGACACAAGUUCAAGGACUUCAAUCUAACAAUGGAGAUGUGCAAAUGUCUAGGAAUCAUUCUAGAAGCUAGUAAAUGUAUAUAAGCUGCAUAAUGGGACAAUUCAAAAUUUCCAAGAUUGCAUUUUAAUUUAUUAUAUGAGUUGCACUUAGGCCCGCCUCCUACUGUCAGUCUACUUGACCUGUGCCACACAUUUCAUAGGACUUUUCUUAAUAGUGCAGUAAUUUAAAAAAGUUAUUCUUAAAUUACUGUAGUGGAAGAAGUUAUUACAAAUAUAGGGUAGUUUUUGCCACAUAAGAGAGGAAAGAGGAGAGAGGGUGAGAGAGGAGAUAGGAGAGAGGAGAGAGGGUGAACGGUAAAAUUUUUUAAAAAAGCGAACUCGUCUCUUGAAGAGACGAGUUCCAUGAAAGAUAAUUAUUCAAGGAAACUCGUCUCUUCAAGAGACGAGUUCCCAUUAAAAAAAAUAUAUAUAUAUUUUUAAAAAAUUCACAAAUUAAAAAAAAUAAAAUAAAAUUUGGAACUAAAGGGAACUCGUCUGAAGAGACGAGUUCCCAUGGGAAAAAAAAUCCCAAAAAAAAAAAAAAAAUCCUAAAGGAACUCGUCUCUUGAAGAGACGAGUUCCCAUGUAAAAAAAAAAAUAUUUUUUUAAAUAUAUAUUAAAAAAAAUAAAAAUAAAAAAAUAAAAAAAACAAUUCCUCAAAAUUCCUAAAGGGAACUCGUCUCUUAUAAAAAAAAAUACAGUAAUUUUCAAGAGACGAGUUCCCUUUACGAAAAAAAUAUUUUUUUAAAAAAAUAUAUUUUUUAUUUUAAAAAAUCCCANNNNNNNNNNNNNNNNNNNNNNNNNNNNNNNNNNNNNNNNNNNNNNNNNNNNNNNNNNNNNNNNNNNNNNNNNNNNNNNNNNNNNNNNNNNNNNNNNNNNUUCCUAAAGUGAAGAGACGAAUUCCCUUUAGGAAUUUUGAGGAAUUGUUUUUUUUUUUUUUUUUUAAUAUAUAUAUUUAAAAAAAUAUUUUUUUUUUUACAUGGGAACUCGUCUCUUCAAGAGACGAGUUCCCUUUGAAAUUGUGUGUUUUUUUUUUUUUUUUUUUAAUUUGGGAUUUUUUAAAAUAUAAAAUAUAUUUUUAAAAAAAAAUAUUUUUUUUACAUGGGAAUUCGUCUCUUGAAGAGACGAGUUCUGAAUUUUGAGGAAUUGUUUUUUUUUUUUUAAUAUAUAUAUAUUUAAAUAUAUAUAUAUAUAUAUAUAUAUAUAUAUAUAUAUAUAUAUAUAUAUAUAUAUUUUUACAUGGGAACUCGUCUCUUUGGAAUUGUGUGUUUUUUUUUUUUUUUUUUUUUUAAUUUGAGAUUUUUUAAAAUAAAAAAUAUAUUUUUUUCCUAAAGGAACUCGUCUCUUCAAGAGACAAGUUCCCUUGAGUAAACUCUUUUUUACAUGGAACUUGGGAACUCGUCUGUUGAAGAGACGAGUUCCUCUAGGAAUUUUGAGGAAUUGUUUUUUAUUUUAUUUUAUUUUAUAUUUUAAUAUAUAUAUUUUAAAAAAAUAUAUUUUUUUUACAUGAGAACUCGUCUCUUGAAGAGACGAGUUCCCUUUGGAAUUGUGUGUAAGAGACGAGUUCCCUUUGGAAUUGUGUGUGUGUGAGUGUUUUUUUUUUUUUUUUUUUUAAAUAAAAAAUAUAUUUUUUAAAAAAAUUAUUUUUUUUCCUAAAGGGAACUCUGAUUUUAUUUUUUAUUUUUUUUUACAUGGGAACUCGUCUCUUCAAGAGACGAGUUCCCUUUAGGAAUUUUGAGGAAUUGUUUUUUUUUUUUUUUAAUAUAUAUAUUUAAAAAAAAGUAUAUUUUUUUUGCAUGGGAACUCGUCUCUUGAAGAGACGAGUUCGCUUUUUUUAAAAAUUUUAUUCCUUCACCCUCUCUCCUCUCUCCUCUCUCCUAUGUGGCAAAAACUACCAUAUAUUUGUAAUAACUUCUUUCACUACAUUAAUUUAAGAAUAACUUUUUUAAAUUACUACUUGAGAAAAGUCCGGACACAUCCAUAUGUAUAUAUAUAUAUAUAUAUAUAUAUAAUAUAUACGCCCGACGCCGAAGAAAGGAAGGACAAAUGCAAAUCAAAGAAAGUAAAAGGCUAAAAGCACAAGAUAACAACGCAAAGUUUUUGCGUGACGGCCAAGAGUGACUUUUUCAAGGGCAUUUUAGUAUUUUACAAUUAAGCUUGUCGGCCUACCACUCUCUUAUUUUGUUCUCGCGAUUCUCCGCUCCACUAUUUGAGUCCGCAACCUUUGAUUGACUUGGUUUCAGUUGUUCGAAAAUGCCCCUACCGGUUUUGGCCCUUGGGCGUUCCUAAAAUGAUUGAAGCACUUCCUUUUGUUUCCAAGGAAGCUUUUUGGUUCAACUCGGAUUCCCAAAGCCGAUCUAUUUCUAUUUUCUAUAUAUAAUUCACCGGUUCCACGAACCCUAGAAAUCAUCGUGUAAGCGCACCACCAGGUGUCCUGGAUUAUAUGUUUGUUUUAAAACCCUAGAUCUUCAUCUUCAUCUUGUCUUUAAUCUCUCUUCCUUUCGAUCUCUCUCAUACAUAGAGAAAGAGAAGAGAGCAAUGGACGAUAGCUGUGCCGUUUGCGCCGAGACUCUCGAAUGGGUUUCGUACGGACCAUGUGGCCAUCGCGAUGUGUGCUCGACUUGCGUGGCUCGUCUUCGCUUCAUCUGCGACGAUCGCCGUUGCUGCAUCUGCAAAACCGAGUGCAACGUUGUCUUUGUCACGAAGGUUCCGGUCUUUCUUUUACCUUUUGACACUUGUUGAAUCUGUAAUUGUUUGAUUCUUGAUUGAGUAUACCGUUUGGUUGCUGAGAAAUUAGGGGAAAUGAAGCUGUCGGGUUAACUAGUCAAUUAUUUGGUUGAGUUGAGUUAAAAUUAUGGUUUUAUUCUUUUUGUAAAUGAAUUAAAAACAGUAAUUAAUUGGAAAAAUUUAGAUUUCAUUGUCAUUUUUUUUCUCUUUCCCUCCGUUUUCUAUGGGCAAAACAGGCUAAGGUUGAUAAAUAGAAAAAACUUGUGAGAGUAAGUUAAAGUUGCAUUCCCUUGGGAUAAAGUAUUUGAUAAAUGGAACCUAGUUGCAUUUAGUUUGUUAAUUUGUAUUCUGUUCAAUUUGAGCAAUACACAUGGGUCUAUUGGUGUUGCUAUUGUUUAAGGUUGAACUUCAAGACUUUAAGUUUACGAUCCUUACUUUCUGCACUUUAUCAAAUUAUAUGAAGUUGGUUCUCACGAGUUCCGAGAGUUUUCUUUCCUGUUCUGCUUAGUUGAGUGUUUAUGAUUCUUUUAGGUAUAUUUGUUGGAUUUGUGAUUGUUGAAUUCACACAAAAUAUUCAAUUUAAAUGUGAUUUGAUUUUUCAAUAAUAAGAACAUAAAUGGGGAUACUUUGGCAUUCAGUGUUGCUGAUCUGAAAUAUGCAACUAGAAAGAGGGAUUGGUAGAUAUGAAUGUUUAGCAUUCAGUUCUGAUUUUUAUUUUGAUUUCUACAAUUGUGCAGGCCUUAGGAGAUUAUACAAGAAUGGUUAAUGAUUUUUCAAUCCUGCCAACCGAAUCAAGGGAGGGUCAAGUGGGAAUGUAUUGGUAUCAUGAGGACACACAAGCAUUUUUUGAUGAUGUGGACCACUACAAGAUGAUCAAGGCAAUGUGCAGGCUUUCUUGCAGCGUAUGUGACCAGAUGGAGGAGCAAUCAAAUGAUGGCUCAAAGAGAAGGCAAAAGUUUAGGAAUAUUGACCAGUUGAAGGGUCAUUUAUUCCAUCGGCAUAAAUUGUUCAUGUGCAGUUUGUGUUUGGAAGGAAGAAAAGUGAGUUCCAUAUCUGUGACAUCUUAUAUGAUAUUUACCCUCUGUCUAUCUGUGUAUACACACAAUUCAGAUGUCAUUCUUCUGUUGUCCUCCAAAUUUGUUCUUAUGAAUUCGUCUUUAGCUGUGCUUUUCUUUAAAGUAGGCGUUUAAUAUAGAAUGCAUUCUUUUUGAAAAAGAACACAAGUAACUCUAAAUAUUAAUAAAUUCCAUGUUUGAUUUGUGGAUUCAUUAGUCUCCUAGCAAAAAGGAAAUCUAUCCUUGAUCCAACAACCCUAAACCUUACUUUUCAUAUAUAAAUGCCUUCUGACCAUGUCAAAAUCUGUUUAAUCUGCAGCUAAGCCCACUUAAGUACCUUCAUUGCUUCAUGAAGCAAAAGUAAAUAAGGAUCAAAUAUCCUCAAAAGACAAAAGCAACAAUAAAAGAAAGUACUGCAAGAACAUCCAAACAGCCCAACCACUAGCCACAAAGUCAAUUAUCCCCUUGACCACUGAUAUCUCUGAACUCUCUUAUCAAGUCUGACCUUUUCCCUGUGAUCAGUUCAUUAGUGGCUCUUUUAUCUUCUGGUAGACUUUCUUUCUAGUUAAACAGAAGUAAUGCAUUUUUUGGAAUAUAAAAAGAACAAAUUGACAUAGUGUUGGUGUCUAUAAUGUUUUCCUGAGUGUCACAAAUGAAGUUUAUUUGUCUCUUAGGUGGUUGGUAUUGUUCAGCCAAAAUACUAUAGUGUUCUGCUUUAUUUGCUUUAUAUGCCCCACCAUUGGAUGAGAGCUGCAUGUUUGUUAUUCUAUUGCAUAAAUGAUUCUAAUGUGCGAUGAAAUGAGGGAUUGGUAGAAAGAGGAGAAUAGUGAGGGGAAUGUAGCAUACGAUGAGAUAGGUUCUAUGGCUGAAAUUAAUGCUGGCUCUCUGGAAAUCUGGUUUUGACAUCUUUUUCACGGUUAUAGAUGACUCAGCUGGAAUGAUUUGCUUUGGUGGUUUAAGUAGAAUCAAGUCUUGCAGAAGCCACCCUACAGAUCUGUCAGUAAGUUACAAGAUGAAAGGGAAAAUCACUGUGUGCUGUGGUGUGAAAAAAAACUUUUGGCAGAAUGUUCUUCAAAUGCACUUUCAGUUUCAAUGCUAUGGCAUUAUAUCACUAGAAUGGAACUGCAGAAUGCAGAGUUCGCUAAACACGAACAAUUCAUUGGGGCUGACUUUGGGUCUGAAUUGUUUUGAUUCUAAUAAUUUGGUGCAGACAUCCUGAUAUGAUAUGGAAGUUGGGAUGGGGCUCUGUUUGUUGCUGUAGGUUUUAAUAAUUUCUUCUUCCUUUUGUUUGUAUGUUGAUUUCACUAGCUUUGCAUGAAUUAGAUAUUUGUGCAUGAUUAAAGCCUAUUGACCUGUGGUUCUUUUUUCUUUUUUUGAUCAGUCAUCUCACUGGCUUUUCUUGGAAUGUAACAGGUAUUUAUUUGUGAACAAAAGCUCUACAAUAGAGCACAGUUGAAUCAGCAUAUAAACACAGGUGACUCUGAGGUGGAUGGAAAUGAGGCUGAAAGAGGUGGCUUCAUGGGGCAUCCGAUGUGUGACUUCUGUAGAAGCCCAUUUUAUGGAGAUAAUGAGCUGUACUCGCAUAUGUCCACGGAACAUUAUACCUGUCAUAUAUGCCAAAGGUAUUACAUGCCAUCUGUCAAUAAUAGAAUGAUAUACAAUGAUUUCAGUUCAAGGCAUGUUUACCUUACAUAGUUCUUUGGUGCUAUUCAAUGCAGGCAGAACCCUGGACAAUUUGAAUACUAUAAAAAUUAUGAUGACCUAGAGGUAAGUUACAAUGACCACUCCUUUUCUUUAAUGUUUCCAAGUUCAAAUGUAUAUGUAUAAAACUCUUUUGUUUGUUACAGAUCCAUUUCCGGAGAGACCAUUUCUUAUGUGAGGACGAAGCCUGCCUUGCAAAAAAGUUUGUCGUCUUUCAAUCUGAAGCAGAAAUGAAGGUGAUUUCUUAGAGCAUAGAUGGCCGCCUUUCAUUAUAUGCUUGAGCAUUUAUUUAUUUGUUUUUGUUGAUUUUCUUUGGAGGAUUAUUUUGAAUCUUGCACUGUUUGGGGAUAAGUGUUGUGGAAGCUAUGUUGCUUUAGAUUGACUUUUCCUGCAUCCUGAAUUUCUUCUAUUCAUUGGGUGUUUUUCUUGUUAUUCCAGAGGCAUAAUGCUAUAGAACAUGGAGGACGUAUGUCUCGCUCUAAACGUAAUGCUGCUCUUCAGGCAUGUAUUAUUUUUCUAAUUCUGAGAUCAUCUUUAGAGGAUCCAAUUUGUUAUAAAAGAUUUUUGUCCACAUUAUCCUGCCUCUUGAUUUGCAAUUCUAGAUACUCGCUCUACGUUGUUCAUUUCUCUUGCAUUCAGAUCUCAUAUGUUAAUUCUCUCUUUCUCUCUCCAACUUCAUGUUGGGGGAUGUUGUAAACAUAACAAUCUGGUGCUCCCUCUUCUCCCUUUUUAUUGCAGAUACCAACAAGUUUUCGCUAUCGAAGAAGUACUGAACAAGAUCAACGCCGUGGAAGAGGAAGGACAUUUAAUCGUGAUUCCUCUGCUGAUCAACUCUCCUUGGCCAUUCAAGCUAGUUUGGAGACAGCUAAUGCAAAUGACACAUAUCAUGAUCCACCCCCAUCAUCAUCAUCCAGCACUCAGGCAGUUUCUGAUCAUUAUGAUAGCGAUCCCAUAAUUCAGCCAUUUGAAUCGUUGGCUAUGACAGAUUCUGAAUCUUCUUCGAGAUAUCGUCAAGCCUUGGGUCAUAACCCAAUGAAUGUACCUCUUGUGGAGUCUUUCUUUCCUCCUCUCGCCACGGCACCCAGCAGCAGUCUACCAAAACCCAAACUUGACUCAGAAGGUUUGCCGAAAAAUACCAUGGCUGCACGUCUCCGCCGUCAAGGUAAGGCAAAUGUUCUCCAUUCAGGUCAGGGUUGGCCAGCCCCAAAUCGUGGAUCAGUCCCACUAUCAAGUAGUUCAACUCAAUCUAAGGUUGCAAAUAUUGCACCUGUGCCAUCAUCUAGUCUGGAUCAGGUUAAGUCAGCAACUGGUAGUGGAUCUGCUCCAAACAGCUAUGCUAGUUUUGCUCAGGCUCGACCCACAACAGUGCAUGGAUUUGCAUCAUCUGGUUCUUCAAGUAACUCAGGCAGCAUAAGUAGGAUCAGCCACUCUGCAUCAGCCCCAAAUCUUGCUGAUAGCAGAUCUUUUGAUCCUUCUAUGUCUGAUUUUCCUCCAGUUUCUGCGACACAAAAGCAAAAGUUGCCAACAAUUACCCAGCCCGUGCUGAAUGCAGAAGCUGUUCACACUGCAAACAAGUCUCUGGUGGAAAAGAUCCGUGCUGCUCUUGAAUUUGAUGAAGACAAAUACACCGCUUUUAAAGACAUAUCCGGGCAGUAUCGGCAAGGUUCAAUUGACACCGCAGUAUAUCUGGCUUAUGUUCAGCAGUUUGGUUUGUCACAUCUUGUUCUUGAAUUGGCUAGACUCUGUCCUGAUGCUCAGAAGCAGAAAGAACUUUUAGAGACCUAUAAUGCUAGUGUACGGAGCAGUGGUUUACAAGAAAAUGGUUGGGGGCAUAGCAAUGUCCAUUUUAAAGACAAAAAGAUCUCCAAGAAAGGUAAAGGAAAACCUGUAGUUGUGGAGGACAGUAAUGUGAAGGAUACAUUAGCAGAUAACAUCAUUAACACAGUUAGGAACCUUCGGUCCACCUUCAAGCCUUCAGAAGAAGAGGUGGAGGUGUUGUCAAAGGAUGGGUACCGUGGUGCAAAAGGCAAAUCAAAGGGAGUGAUUGAUGAGCAACAGUCAGAUCUGAGUUCUGCUAGAGAACCCUUACCAAAGCUGAGUGCCCAAAAUGAGGUGCCAUCAGCGGGUGGUGGAUCUAAUCAAAAUUUAGGGGCUGUGAGUGGAGGAAGUCAGCGACGAAAGAAAGCAUCAAAAUUCCUCAGAGCCCGUCUGGGUGAUGGUUCAGUGGGUGCACUUCUGAACUCCCAAGAUCCUGACCCAGAUCCAGAUCCAGUGGAGGAAACAUUAGAUGCAAACAUGAAUCCGGCUGAAGGCUUACCAGUUCAUGGUGUUUGGCGGAAUGGUGGUGGUCAGAGACUUUUUAGCAAUGGCCAGAAGAGAUUCUAAACUACAUUGGCAUGAACUUUUCUGAAGUGCUGUCAAUAGAUGGAUAAGUUUUGAUUUUUGUUCUCCAAUCAUGUGUUUCAAAGUUGUUAUCAUGAUGAGUUGGCUGAUUUAAACCAGUAUAGGCAAAUGAAUUCUGUGUAGCAGUGGAAGUUGAUUGGGAAUGAUGCUGCAUGAGUAGGUCAUUUGUGUUUUGAUGACUUUCAAGUGUUUGCAUAUAGAAAUGACAACUUGAGGUCCAGGCAUUGUUUGAUACUUCUUUUUCCUAGUUCAGACCACUGUAUUGCAGUUUGUUUGACCCCUUUAUCUUCCUUUUUGUUUUGUGAAAAAAAGAAUGGAAGUGUGAAUAUAGUUUUGGCGCAUUUGUGAAGUUCAAUGAUUCUCUAAUCAUGUAUUACCUAUGAACCCUCGUAUCUUUGUACUCCCUUUCAUUAUAUAUUUCCUAUGUUCUCUGACAUCUUUUCACGUGCUAAAUAGGUAUUGUUGAAAUGAAUGGACAACUUCAAUGGUUGUCUACCUCUCAUGAACCCUUCUUUUAAAUUUGCAUCCCAGGGACUUUGUGCUCUGCUUUUCAGUUGCAUCUUUGAAGGUGUUGGAGUGUAUGGUGGGGAGUUAAGAUUAUAGCAAGAAUAAACAUGUGGCCCACGAUUCUCUAUGGUGAUUGUUAUGAGAUUUUCAAAAUCUGGGACCCUAAGAAAUUCAGCAAUGCAUUCUACAUAAGUUGCUCUGCUAGUACUAGAAGUAACAGUGGUAGUAGCUUGAUCACAUCAAUGACAGGCGCUUUAGGUAUGCUCGAUUAUGCAACCAACGUGCCUCUGCUAGGAGAAAUGUCAUUCUCUUCAUCUGACAUCCAUUCAACUUCCAUUUUAGUGAAGGCAGUUUUUUUCCAUCUUCGUUAUGAAAGCAGAUUUUAUUUUAUUUUUAAAACAAUUGUAAGGUACUUUUAUUUGUUUUUUAUAGAGUGCUCUAAUUAACAAUUAAAAAGACUGGAAAAAUAAAUAUACAAUAAUUUUAUGGAGAAAACUGUAUUUUAUAUUUGAGUUUCCAAAUAUAAUUUUGUUUCCCAAAAAUAAUUGCAAACUGUUUUUAAAAAUUGUUUUUUUCAGAAUGGUUUUCAAUACAUUACCAAAAAUACCUAUAGUUUGGGUUGCCAAAAGAUGGGAAAUUCUCACAUUCAGUCUCUAUAGAAUAGAAGUGAUAAGAAGCUAAACCCCUUUGAUAAAUAACAUAGAAGUUCAGCAACAACAGUCACAAAUGUAACAUUCGCAUUUCCUUUACCUGGAAUACAAUGAUAUAACUUUAGGACUUUUCUCAUAUAUAAAGAUUGUAUCCAACAAUUAUUUCACACAGAGGAGAAGCAGAUUGAAGAUUCUACAACAAUGUACGGAGCUCAGUGUCCAUGUAUCUGGAUAUCAGCAUAUCCAAAAGUUUUCUCGCUGCUGUAAGACAUGUACAGGAACCCGUCCUCAUCCUUGAAGGAUUCAUAGACAGUGUCCAUCAAACUUGCUGCAAGUAGACAUGUGUAAAAAAUAUCAGCAGAUUAUCAGGGCAAAAACCUUCAUGCAAUGAAUCCACAGAAGAUAUGAACCAAGUGAUUUAAUGGCAUUUCUACCUGUUUGAGGUAAGGUAUUCUCCACAAAUACGAAAAGAGCUUUUCCAGGAGUCAGAUGAAGCCUGAUACUUAAGAUGUGAAUGAAUUGCCCAACAGACAUGUCCCGGGGAACCAGGAAUCUAAUAACAAAGGGAAAAUGGCAAAAUGUUAAGCCAAGUUACUUCAAUAUCCUUUAAAAUAGCAGAAAAAGGCAACCCUAAACUGUAGGAUAGGUAGUGGAUUCUUUUACCUCAGUGUGACAAUUACAGAGGACUGAACUUUGAAGAGAGAGAGAGAGAGAGAGAGGAGGAAAUCCCUGACUGCCCUUAAAAUAAAUACAAAACUAAUUUAAUAAAGUGGCAGGGAUGAGAAACUGAAGUUCAAUCAGCUUCUUGAUAUGCUUGGUUGUAAAUAGCUAACUGGGAGAAAAUGUGUACGGUGAUAUUCAAAGGGACUUCCUUUGAGCCCUGGGGAGGCUUGUACAAGAAGCUCCCAUUUAGGUAGUUGGUCUGUUGUUCAAUUGAACAAAAAGAAUGGAGGUCUUGGCAUCAGGAGUCUUCACACUCUAAACAAGGCUCUCCUUGGUAAAUGGAACCGGAUAUUUGCUUCAGAGAGAGGAUCCCUUUGAAACAAAGUCAGAGCUAGAAAAUUUGGGGCUAAUGAAGGCGAUGGUGUUUAAGGAUGUGAAAGACAUCUAUGGGUUGGGAUUGUGGAAGGUUAUUAGAAAUGAGUAAGAGAUCUUUGGAAGUAGAUCUCACUUCAUACUGGAUAACACAAGAAGAGUAAAAAUUCAGAAAGAUAAGUGGGGGGAAAGCUCUUUGGAAGGAUCCUUUUGGUGUUAUUCUCUAUAACUAUUGAUAAAGACACUUGAGUAGCAGAGAUGAGGGAGCAAGUUGGAGAAGGGGGUCGGCGAAAUCCCAAUUUCAGAAAUAGUUGCAUGAUUAGGAAGGAGUAGAGGCCUUUUUUAGAAGACUACAAUCAACCAGGAUUAGAAAGGAUGAGGAGAAUAGCUUGGGUUGGAAAGAAGCUAAGUGUGACAAACAAAUCCUACUGCUCUUCUCUACCAUGGGGAAGAAGUGAGCCUUUCCUUGCAAGCAUAGUAUAGAAGGAUUUUAACCAUUGACCAACUAAGCAGGGGAUGGAUUUUGCUAGACUAAUGUUACAUGUGUAAAGGAGAUGAGGAGUCAGUUGACCAUAUGCUCUUACACUACUCCAAAGUGAGAAUUUUGUGGCAGCUAGUGUUUUCUCCUUUUGGAGUGAUUUAGGUAAUGCACUCUUUGGUAAGAGGAAAUCUAUUGGGUUGGCAUGGUUCUUUUGUGGGAAGAAGCUGAAGAAAGAUUGGAGGACUGCUCCUUUGCGUAUUUUCUGGAUGUUAUGGAUGGAAAGAAACAGGAGGUAAUUCAAAGACGGUGAAUAGUCGAACCAAUCAAUCAAAUCUUCCUUUAUGUUUAUCUUUUUGAAUUGGGUUAAGAGUAUACAUAGAUGGCUAUUCCCUAACCAUGAUAGGAUUUACAGAUUGGUUGAGCUCAAGGUAGGUAGAGGGAGUUUGUAUUAUGUGUUCUCUCUGCCUUUCUACUUGUCUGAUGACGCUUCUUGUAUACAUUGUGUGCACUUAGGUGUGUCAUUUUUCAGGCACCUUUGAUUUAUUCUCUCUUUUACCUAUAAAAGGAAAAGAAAAGAAAAGAAAUGAGAAUGUGCACGGACUUGAAUUUUCUAAUGAAGCCAGAAUCAAUGAAGCCCAACUCAGCUUCUUCAUCUGCUUUGCCGAACAUGAGGGAGUCAUUGGAAAUAUGUCUAGGAUUUUUGUGUUCUAAAAGUACUUGAAGUUGUGAAGGACAAUCAACUUCAUCAUUUGCUUUACUUAACAAAUGACAAAUCUCAUGGAAAUACGCCUAGGAUUUUCUAUCCCAACAACAUUAGAAGCCAGACCAAUUGGAAAAGUCAGCAGCAAGAGCUCUAGACAACAUUAUACAUUUUAUGGGUCCCUAGCUACAAGUGAAAGAAAAUUUUCCUUUAGUUAAAUGCAACACUUAGCAAAGUAUGAAUUCCACAAUAUUCUCAUUAAGAAACACAAAGUUGGGAAGAUUAAAAAUAAAAUGUAAAAAAUGUAAAAAAAAUAAAAAAAAAUAAAAAAAAAUAAAUGUCAUUGAAAUGGCCUUCAGUAGAAAUGGACCCAUUGUCAUCCACACAAACAGCCCCAAAUAGAUAGUACAAGAAUAUCAGUUCUGUGCUGGUAAUUACAACUUAUCCUCAGCUUCCAUAGAUCAAGUUAUGAUUAAGAAAAAAAAAAAUCAAACCCCUCCAUUGAAAUAUAAACCAGUUGGACUUAGGUCUUUAUUUGCAAAAAGGAAAAACAACAUGAAAUGUAACUUAAGUAACCAAAUACUUCUAACACUGCAACUGAGUCAAAGGAUUACAGAAAAGACUAGUUCACAAUCAGCAGUUUAUUCCGAUCAAACACAAAAGACUAUAAUUCAUAUGAUAGAAUUAAACAAUCUGAACUCACUUUUUCUUUUCCAUCUCGGGGAGGUCGGUUUUUGAAUACCUUUCAGCAAUCACCUAAACAAAACAAAGUCAGAAAUUUGAAACAAAUAAAUCGUAUUAUCUGGGUUGCGGCUGUGAGCAAAAACAGAAUUGAAAAAACCAAAGAGUUGGGCAAUUUGGAUCGGGGGUUGGUGGGCUUACCGGGACUCGAUCUGGGUAUUUGGCGAUGAUGUCUCGGGAUUCUUCCAAUCGUUCCUCUGUCGAAGAAGAAAGAUAUGAUGUGGGGAGAUGAUCAAGGAAUUUCAAUACGGAAAAGAGCUAACCAAAGAAAAAACGUACCGUAUGAGAACUCGUUCUUGAAUGAUGACAUGCUCUUCUUCCCCAUUGAUGAUGCGUUGGUCGAGAUGUUAAGGAACAGAAAGUUUUUAAGGAGAAGACCAAACGCUAGCUCAGAAGUAAUUUUUCUGUUUGAUUCGGUUAAGGACACGCGGGGAUAGCUCAGUUGGGAGAGCGUCAGACUGAAGAUCUGAAGGUCGCGUGUUCGAUCCACGCUCACCGCAAUACUUUUUUGGGCCCAGGUCCAAGUUUAAUUUUUUUGGUUGGGCUACUCCUCGUCCAGCCCAUAAAGCCCUAAAUACAGCGACUCAACAAAACACAAACGUUUCAGCAAAGCAAAACACUGAAGUAGAACGGAGCAGCCAUGGAGAAGCAGAGUGAGUGGCGCCUCCACGGCGGCCACUACCUCGGAGAAAUCUCAGCCCUCUGUUUAAUCCACGCGCCACCUCUCCCUCACUUCUCUUCUCUCCCCUAUCUCCUUGCUGGUACCGCUUUCUGUUCAGUUUCUUCACCCUAUUUAAAUUUAUUCAAUUAAGAUAUUGAAUUCUAAGGUAUUUGAAUUUCGAUUUCUCAGGCACAGGAUCGCAAGUUUUACUCUACGAUUUGGAGUCCGUGAAAAUACUGAGGUCCUUUCAUGUGUUAGAAGGAAUUAGAGUGCAUGGAAUUGCUUGCCGCUUGGUUGAUUGUAAAGAAGGAUCGGUAUUGUCGGUUAAGAUUGCUGUUUUCGGGGAAAGGAGAGUAAAGUUGUUUAAUUUGCGGAUUGAGAUGGUUCCUGAAUCCCAAGAUGAGCCCCAAGUGUGUUUGGAGUUGACUCUGUUGCAUUCGUUGCCGAAAUUCAGUCACUGGGUUUUAGAUGUUUGCUUCUUCAAGGUAAAAAUGGGACGUAUUUAUUGCUCCAUUGGGUGUUUUUCUUGUAAGUUAGUCUGAGAAUGCAAUUGUUGAUGUGUAGGAGGACAUUGCGACUUCUUCACAUUGUCUUGUGGUGGGAUGUAGCGAUAAUUCGGUCCAUCUCUGGGAUAUGUUAACGUCCAGUUCGAUUCUUGAAGUUAGGAAUCCAGGUUUGUAUUAUGAGAGUAUAAGUUUUGAACUAUCCGGUUAUCAUUGGUCGUCGUUUGCUAGGGGAUGGUCUGUUUGCAAUUUCUAAAAUUUGAUGCACUAAAUUUCAGGUUCUCAAUACAUUAUAUUUGCACUCCAAUCACUAGAUCGUAAAACGACCUAGUAGUUGGGAUAAGAACUUUUAUCUGUUGUGUUGUACUAGAACUUGUAUUGUGGCAAUUUUCAUGGUUUGAUGGUUUGAUUCUUAUUCAACUGCAGAGAGGUGCCUUCUUUAUUCCAUGCGGUUAUGGGGUGAUGAACUUCAAAACCUCCUUGUUGCAUCUGGUACUAUCUAUAAUGAGGUGGCAAAUCUUUCCUUAUAAUGAAUUUUGAUCCAACGAAUGGUCUGUGUAGGGUUUUUAGUGAUUACAAUGACCAUUAUGUUAGGUGGUAUUUUUUUUUUUUUUUAAAACUUAAUGUUGAAUGCAAUUUGCUUUUAGACUUUAGAUGAUUUAUUUUUAACUUUUUUUUUUUCACUUAUAACAUAUUUUUAAAUUUAUUUUAUUGAAUAGAAAAAGAUAAAAUAUUUUUGUUGAAUGCUAAAAAUAACAUUUUUAAACAACUAAAACACAUUCUCAAUAUGACAUUCACCCUUUUAAUACUUGAUACUUUACAACAAUAAAGUAAUAAAAUAACAAAUGACUUAAUACUUAAUACUAUUAAGUUGUAUUUAGAGUUAAAUUGAAUUAAGUUCUAUUUAGAUUUAAGUAAAAAAAAAAAAAAACACUACCUUAACAUUUUAUAAACUUUGAGGACCUUGAUUUCAUCAUUUUAAUUGUUUUUUUUUUCUUUUCUAUUUUAAAAUUGGAUCACCAUUGAAGUUAAUCUCAGUGAUAAUGAUUAAUGUUUGGACCCCAUAUUCCAUGAUUGUUCUUGGAAUAUCUGCAUAGCAGUUUUGGGUUGAUGCUAUGUGCAUUCCGAUUUUUCAGUUGAAGAGGCUGAUGCCACCAUCCCCUUAUUCCAAAUUAGCUUUCUACAAUCUUCUCAAAUUCGGAAGCUAUCGAAAUGUUAAAUUUACAUGGUUUCUUAAGGAUAAAUUGGUUUUGAACAGAUUAUUGUUUGGAAAGCAGUUCCUCAGAACUGCACUCCAAGUUUGGGAAGUUCAGUGAAAGACCACAUUAAUUCGAGUAGUUCUUUCUGCAACGGCUUCAAUCAUUAUAGUCAGCAAUAUCAAGCUCUUAAUAUAUGUAGACUUGCUGGACAUGAAGGUUCAAUUUUUCGCCUAGCAUGGUCCUCCAAUGGAUCCAAACUGGUGUCUGUCUCUGAUGAUCGGAGGUGAAUUAGUUUCUCAACCAGUUUCUUCCCUUUAUAUUACUGAUUCCUUGGAGGUAUGAUUCUAUGCAAUGAGUUGGUUUUAAUUGGUACAGUGCUCGUAUCUGGCCAAUUCAUGCAGAAAGGGAAGUUUCUGAUAACUCAGGAGAGAUUGUUGACACAGGCUCUGCUGGUCCUGUGCUAUUUGGUCACAAUGCUAGGAUUUGGGACUGCUGUAUUUUAGAUUCUGUAAGCUCAUAAAUUUUUUGUCUUUUACAGUUAUUCUCUAUUUUCUUAUAUUAAAUUGGAAAGUUACUUUAACAAGCAAAGAACAUGGAAUAUUGUUGUCUGUCCAGAAUACAGAUAAUAUUUUUCUUUAAAUGUGUUCAUGAUCCUUCCCACCCAAAAAUAAGCUGUUUUCAUGCUUGAGGAAAAAUCUCAACUGCAAGGAUUUCAUUUUAUUAUAUGCUCUUCAUAUUUUUUGUUAUCUUUUCAGGAUUUUGUGAUAGAUUUAUUUUUACAUUCAUGCUGAUUGCUGAGGUUGGUUAGCAUGUGUCUGUAGUGCUUCUUCAUGCCUAAAAGCCUGACUUUGGUCUGGAUUUUUCUCACAUAAAAAGGGAAGGGGAAAAAAAACGAAAGGAAAAACCUGCUUUCACUGGUGGAUCUAGUGAUCACAAGCAAAUAGCAUGUCUGCAAAUGAAAUCAAAUAAUCAAGAAAAUGCAUACCCCUUUCCUCUGUUAUUAAUUGUUAACUGGUAGAAUUUUUAUUUCCUUUUUAGUCUGAGGUUCCAUUAAUUAAAAACUCUUUGCUACCAUUUGAGAAAGUGUUUUCUCAUUGAAAAAGUCAAAUUUUGACAUUCAGUUGUUAGUGAGCAACAUUUGGUUUAAGCUAUAGGUGCAAUAUUGGUUUUGUACUGAGUCGUUGCUGCAUAACUAACAACAAGGCCUCCUGUCAUCCAUAACUAUUUAUUGUAUGUGGUGGCGCUACCAUGUUAGAUGGCUUUGGUCGAUUCUGGUAAUGCUUGUCUUGUAUUUUGGACUGGAUGUCAUAAUAUUAAAAAUAGGUAAUUAGGCCUUCUCUUUUGGUCUGGUAUUUGUUCUCUUCACCAUUUUACUUUACUACCUCAUAGUUUGGGGGGAGAGGUACAGAUCCAUAUGGCAUUUUUAUUAUUUCAUCAUUUCCUCCAAUUGCCAAAAUAUGAUCUCUGAACUGUUAUAUGAGGUUGAUGUUCCAUGUUUGCUCUUUCAAAAUGGAGCUACUGUUGCUUUUUGAAACGACUGUGUUUGUUCUCAGUUAAUUGUAACUGCUGGCGAGGAUUGUACAUGUCGUGUGUGGGGAACAGAUGGUAACCAGCUUAAGAUGAUCAAAGAGCACAUGUAAGUUGCAAAUUCAGUUUGUUAAGAAUUGCAGGUUAAUUUCUUGAGUGAUGUUCCAUAAUUUCAACACCAUCUAUCAAACAUAUAUGUAAAUUGAAUACAUUCAACCUGAUUCUGGUUAUUAUGGAUUAAGAGCUAUGUAUCCCAGAUACUAUUCUGGACACCAUACCCUUGUGUUCUAGGACUCUUUUGGACAUGCUGUAGCAACCUUGAUUAUAUUUCUGCUAAAAUAUUAUGUUUUGAGAUUCAGAGUCAUUUACAAAUAUAUUUUUUUGAUAACCAAUGAUUCAAUAUAUUAAUAGUGCCUAACAAAGAGGCACACAAAAGCAUACACGGGGUAUACAAAGGCGCCGAUAGGCCACACAAAGCGAAGAGAUACACAAAAACAACUCCCUCACACUACUUAGAGCCCAACCGAUCAAUAAAGUUUAUCAUGGACAAUGAGCAAUCCCUUAUGUGCACUCUAACCCACUUGUAAAUAUAUACAUGCAAUAAUAUUUAGGCCAAUUACCUAACCGGUGUUUUUUGUGUGGGUGCGAAGAGGAAACGAUCAAUCAUAUCUUAAUACAUUGUACAGUAGAAAAAGGGUUGUGGAACAUCAUUCUUGCGUUGUGUGGUGUACAGUGGGUCUUUCCAAAUUCUGUAAAGGAGGUUCUUAGUAGUUGGAAAGGCUCUUUUGUGGGGAGAAAAAGGAAUAAAGUGUGGAAAUCCAUUCCGUUAUUCAUUUUUUGGACUAUGUGGAAGGAGAGGAAUAGGCUAGCUUUUAAGGGGAGAGUGUUGGCUUUUCAAAAGUUAAAAACUUCAUUUGUAUACAAUAUUUGGGGUUGGGCUAAAGUGUACAUUGAUAUGGAGUCGAAUUCCCUUAUAGGUUUCUUGGAGUCGUUAGCCUCCAAAUAGGGUUUGGGUUGUUUUGUUUUUUGUUUGAGGGGGUGGUAGCCUCGUAUACUUCCUGUAUGCUUUGAGGUUUCUUUGCCUAUUUAUAUAUAUUGCUUGCUUAUCAAAAAAACAAAUAUUUAGGCCAAUUUUCUUGAAGAAGUUUUGAAUCUGAAUUAUCCCUCCAAAAUGCUUGUUUUGCAUUUCCUCUUACUAGUAUCUUAUCCAGAGUAUUCUUCAUACUUCCUUGGCUGUAUUAAUCCUAAUUUCUUGUACAGCAUUUUUCACCGCAUUUAUGCAUUUUGAAAUACCUUGUCAUUAGUGCUGAAAUGGGUAAUACUGGUCUUAGUGUCUUGUUAGAUUAAAUGCUGGUAUCAAGUGAAACUAGUCUAUGUCUAAGUAGUAUCUUGGUACUCAUAAUGAUUCAAUACUCAAAUUACAUCUUUUUCUUAUCAUGCAGAGGAAGGGGUGUAUGGCGAUGUUUGUAUGAUCCAAAGUUUUCACUUCUUGUUACUGCUGGGUUUGACUCUGCUAUCAAAGUGCAUCAGCUACAAGCUUCUUUGCCUAAGGCCCCACAGGAACAGGUUGCGGAGGUAAAAGAGUUGAUUGACAGAACGGAGAUAUUCACUGUUUGUAUCCCAAAUUCAUCAGAACAUACUGGACUUAUGGACAGGUUAAGGUCUCCCAAAAACAAUAUAACUAUCAUGUAUACAUAUGGGGUAGACACACUUUCACCUGUUUGUUCAUCCCCUUGCUGAGAAAAGACAUGCUUAGAUGAGCCUGGAUUUUUUUUUUCUUUCUUUUUUUCGAAAUUAAGAAAAAUAGUGGACGGCUCAUGAAAAUGUUAAUAGAUUGAUGAAGAUCGAGCUGCAUAAUUUAUUGGGACUUGGGAUGUCACAAUUAUUGGACCAAACAAAUUGUAGCUUAUGAAUCCCCUCUCAACUUACAUGUGUUAGUUUAACCUUAUUUCUAAAUGUUGUUUUGUGUCUCUGAUUUAAUUGCUGUUGUUCUACUUGAUUUUUUUUAUCAACUGAUGCAUUGCCUUUUUUUUUUUUUCCCUGUUUGUUGCAGCAAAAGUGAAUAUGUGCGUUCCCUGCGUUUCACAUGUGAAAAUAGUCUCUAUGUUUCCACAAACCGUGGUUAUCUUUACCAUGCUAAAUUAUUUGAUACAGGAGAUGUAAAAUGGACUGAACUUAUCCGUGUCAGUGAAGAGGUGCCAAUUGUUUGUAUGGACUUACUGUCUAGAAAUGGACCCAAGCUUUCCAGUGGUGUUGAGGAUUGGAUUGCUGUUGGAGAUGGUAAAGGAAACAUGACAGUCACUGGAAUUGUUAGUGAUCUUUGCCCUCCUAAAGUAGGCCUCACUUAUACUUGGUCAGCUGGAAUAGAGAGGCAGCUCUUAGGAACAUUUUGGUGCAAGUCCUUGGGAUAUAGGUAGGGACAAUUCUUCACCUUUUGAUAUAAUGUUUUUAUUAUGUCCCAUGUAUUCCAAAUCUGGCCUGAAUCGCUUAAAUGAGUACUCGUUGAGUAAUGGAAUCUACAACCUAUCAUUCUAGCUCAGUACCCAUCUGCUAUUUUAGGCUCAAUUUUAAACUGAAGGUUAUGGAUCUUUAACCAUAUGAACUUCUUUGUGUCUGCUUUUUGCUGUCACAAAAGAUUGUUGAAAAGUCAAGUAUUAUGAUCAGGGACAAAAAUGUCGUGAUAUUACCGAUAUAUCGUGUAUCGAAAGGUUUUGACACGAUAAAUCAUGAUGAUAUAUCGGAGAGGAGAAAUUUCGAUAAAUAUUACCAAAAAAUCGCCAAUAUAUCGGCGAUAUAUUGGUUGGAGGCGAUAAAUCGUUGAUUAUACAUAUACAGCAAAAAAUCGCCUAUAUUUCUCCAAUCUAUCGCCGAUUUUUCAGCGAUAUUUCUGCAAAAAAAAAAAAAAUGCCCUCCCUCUACCUAGAUUGCCUACCCCUUUGCCCAAGCUUCCCCUUCCCUAGUCAAAUCCCCAGUCUCCUGCUCGGGCUCCAACCCCACUUUGCCCAUAUCCUCCUACAGCCUAUGUCCAUUAGGGCAAUUAUGCCCUUUGUUAAUUUGAACCAAAUGUGUGUAUAUAUAUAUAUAUAUUAAAAGUCAGCACAAAACAAUAUUUUUGAAAACAAAGUAAUUAUAAUUAUUUUAUAAUUAUUACAAAAAAAUAUAAAAAUUAUCAUCAUAAUUUUUUUCAUAGUAUUUUUUAAUAUCAUUAAUAUAUUAAUUAAAUAUUAAAAAAUUAUACAUGUAUUAUCGUUUAUUUUAUAUCAUUUAAUAUAAUUAAAUUAAAUGGAUCAUAAAUUUAAUAUUAAAUAUAUUUUAAAAUUAGAUAUAUUAUAAUUAAAUAUUAUAAUAUUAUUAUGAAAUAAUAUUUAAUAUAAUUUAAUAAUAAAUGUGCACUUAUAAAAUACAUAUUUUUUAUUGAUGCAUAUAAUAUUAUUAUCAAAUAUAAUAAAUCAUAUUAUACAUAUAUUAAAUUAUUUAAUAAAGUAACUUAAAAAUAUUUGUUAUACUUCUAAUCAUAUUUCUAUGAGGUUUUUUUUUAUAUUUCCAUGAAUUUUGAUCAAUUUUAGGUUUAUCGAUAUUUUUUUUUUUCAAAAUAUCUGCCGAUAUAUUUUCGAUAUAUCCAUAAAAUUGAAGUACCGAUAUAUAUGUGAUUAUUGAUAUUUUCAUCUUUGAUUAUGAUCAUCCAAUUGGUCUUUACUUAUAAAAAAAAUGAUCAUCCAACUACUCCACAUGACCAUGGAGAUCAUACUGAGGAACUCAAUUGGUGGGUAUGCUUACCACUCUCCAAUGUUGUCAGCUGGGAGAUAUCAAGGUCUUCUUGCUUUAUUUUUUUGAUAGGCAAAGGCACAGAAAAAGUAUAUUAAUAAAAACCAGGUGCCCAACGGCUAACCCAAUGCAUACAGGAAGUAUACAACAGGCGCAAGGUCUUCUUGCUUUAUUGUUAACAUGUACUCAUCAAUCUCUGGUGUUUGAAUCAUGUAGGUACAUUUUCACUGCUGAUCCAAGAGGAAAGUUGAAGUUAUGGAGGUUAUGUAAUCCUUCACAAUCAGCUUCUCAAAAUUCUGCAAUCAGUAACAAUGUGUCUCUAAUAGCAGAGUUCAUAUCCAGUUUUAAUAUACGGAUAAUGUGUUUGGAUGCCUCAUCUGAGGAAGAGGUAUUUUCUUUUUAUCAUGUCUCUAACUUAAUUAGAGUGAGGAUCUUUCUCUUUAUGGUAUAAGACAAGGUUUUUGGAUUGUAUAUCCUUACACAAGUAACAUCUAUUAGGAAUCCUCCAACCUUUCCUUUUUAGCUGAUCUAGAGUCAAAAUCCUAGCUCAAGUUGUUUCCCAAGUAAAAAAGCUAAUACUUAAUGGUAUCCAAGAAUUCCAUAUUGUGCCAUAAAGGAACAACUCCACUCUCCUAUUUGCUAAAGAGGAACAGAAGAACUUAAUUGAAAAAGUACCAUUCUUUGUAGGCAACCAUACCAUGACAUCAUCGGUCUCCAAAGAAAUGGAGUGUGCAAACAACCUCCCAAAAAGGUUGUACCUUCUUUAGUUCCCAAUCAUGCAAAUGCCUUGUAAACCUAGGACUCUGGCUACCAUCAACCCAAAGGUCACUCACCUAAACAUCUAUUGAGGUAGCUAUAGAAUAGAACUCUGGAAACGAAUCCCUCAAGGACACGUCCCCACCCCACUUGUCUUUCCAAACCUUGUUCCCAGACCCAACCUUGAAACCUGUAUCGCCUUCCACACCCCCAUACCAUGCCCUUCUCUCAUUUCUUGAGUGCAUCAUCCCCCCCCCCGACCCAUACUUGGGAUUCCUUUUCACUUACAAAUCUCCAAGACCAUUUACCCAAAAGAGUCUCAUUUAAAAUGGAUAAAUUUCUGAUGCCCAAGCCCCCUUUCUGUUUCUCCAAGCAAACAAUAGCCCAGUUCACCAAAUAUGGCUUUUGUUCCAAACCCCCCCCCCCCCCCCUCCCCACAAAAAGUCUAUUUUUCCAAUCUAACAACUACCUUCUUUAGGAUGACAAAUAGAGACAUGAAGUAAAUCGACAAACUACUAAAGUACUCUUCAUCAGAGUAAGCCUUCCACCCUUUGAUAGAUAUUGUCUCUUCCAUAAAGCUAGCCUUUCCAAAAUCUUUCUUCUAUCCCUUCCUAAACUUCGGAGAACUUAUAAGGGGCUCCCAACGGAAGCCUUAAAUAGGAGGUCGGGAGGGCACUGACCUUGCAGCCUAAAACCCCAACAAGAUCCUUUAAAUUUGAGACCUCCCCAACAGGGAUAAGCUCACUUUUCUCCAAGUUGAUCUUUAGCCCUAACAAAACCUCAAACCACAUAAAAACCCAACUCAGAUACUCAAGGUUCUCCUUACUAGCAUCACAAAAAAUGAGAGUAUUGUCCACAAAUAACAAAUGGGAAACCUCCACCCCUUCUCCAUCUCUUCCCCUUACUAUAAAGCCAUAAAAAAAAAACCCUCCUUCCUUUGCCCUUACAAGAAUGCUAGAGCGAGUAUCCAUUGCCAAGAUAAACAAAUAAGGGAACAAAGGUUCUUUUCCCAUUUAUUUCAGUCAAUAAAGAUCUGUGAGCUUGAAUAAAAGAAAAAGGAAAACAAAUAUUUAGAGGAUCACUGAGAGAUAAAGGUCAUUUUCUUUUAAUUUUAUGAGAUUAUGUUUGAUUAAUAAUAAGCAUACUACUGAUUAGAAAUUAGGAAAUCUUGAUCUUGUGAGGUCCAGAAGUGAUUUAAUGAAUUUUCCAGGCUUACUGUUUUAUUAAAUGGAACCUGUAUAUCGGUGUUAUAUCUUACUGACUGUUUUAUAAACCUUGUAGGCUUUUUUAUUUUAUUUUAUUUAUUUAUUCAUUUACUAAUUAUUAUUAUUUUACUUGCUAAAUUGUUAUUGUUAUUGUUUUGCAGGUGCUGAUAUGUGGAGAUCUACGUGGUAAUUUGAUUUUAUACCCUUUAUUGAGGAGUAUAUUGGUGGGUUCAUCUUUUGGAUCAGAAGUGAAGAUUACUCCAUUGACUUAUUUCAAAGGAGCUCAUGGGAUAUCAAGCGUGUCUGGCAUUUCGAUAGCAGGAUUUGUUUCCAAUCAAAUUGAAAUACAAUCUGUAUGUUCUGACUUCAAGCUUUUCUAUUGGCAAAGAAUAUUGUUGCAUGCCUUGCUUUCAAAUAUUCUCUGACAAUGAUUUUUUUUUUUUUUUGCAUGUCUGUAUCAGAGAUAGAGACAGGGCAUUUGAUAUUUAUUUUGUUUCUUGUCAGACUGGUGGAGAUGGGUGCAUAUGCUAUUUGGAAUAUCGCAGAGAUCGACAGAAUUUGCAGUUUAUAGGGAUGAAACGGGUGAAAGAAUUGAGUUUGGUCCAGUCCGUCUCUUCUGGUGCUGACUCUGUUGAUGAUUUGACAAGCAGCAAGUAUGCAAUUGGUUUUGCAUCAACAGAUUUCAUAAUAUGGAACUUAAUAACUGAGACAAAGGUACUUCUCUCACUCUCUCACUUCCUUCCAGGCUGAUUCCUAUGUUGCAAGGCCUCUUCUAGUUGAUACCUAAGAGUAACAUUGAAGCAGGUUGUGCAAGUCCCAUGUGGUGGAUGGCGGCGUCCCCAUUCUUAUUAUCUUGGUGAUGUACCAGAGAUGAGAAACUGCUUUGCAUAUGUUAAGGUCUAUUUUUCUACUCUUUUCACUUCCUAAUUUUUUAUUCUUCGAGGAAUGUGGUAAUCAAAGCACAAAUACAUGAGGAUGAUAAUCAGCUUUGUUUAACAUGAGAUGCACAUGCAGAGUUUGGGACUGUCAUCCAGUUAGGGAAUCAGUGCAAGUAGUUGAGCUGACAAAGUGGUCUUGUAAACUUCAUGUCUUAUAGUUGGACUGUUGAUGAAUAAGUUGUGAAUUAUCAUAUGCUUAUUCUUAGUAUCAUGGAGUGAGGUUGAAUAUCUGCCAAGUGGCAUAUGCUUUGGAGUUUACCCAAAUGAGGUUGAGCAAGUUAUAGUUAUAUUUUUAUUCAAGAUAGCAUGCUAUUAAACUAUUCAGAAGCUUUACUACUAUCUGUUAUUGUGUUUCUUUUUCUUUUCUCCCAUUAGUUAUGUUUUAUUUUAUUUUUAUUUUUAUUUUUAUUUAUUUUGAAGCAAUCCCUUCUAAAUUUGAAAAGUGUAUAUUAUUGUUUUAGGUGUAUCAAAGACUAAAUGGAUGAACGUUGAUCCAUAAACUUGUAAUGCCUCGAGUGGCUUUAUGUUCAAAACUACUGAUGUCCAUCAAAAUAGAUGAUUGAAACACUCUCAACAGAGAGCUGUUUCGAGUUGCUAAGCCAAAUUGUUGUACUUUUUAUAUGAUAAAGGGACUGCUUCAUUAUGUUGUGAUGUUCAAUGCAUCUUAGUUUACUGAGAUUACAAUUUUCAAUUUUUCAGGAUGAAAUAAUUUAUAUUCAUAGAUUCUGGAUUCCAGAGAGUGAAAGGAAAAUAUUUCCUCAGAAUCUGCAUAUUCAAUUUCAUGGGAGAGAGAUGCAUUCCUUAUGUUUUGUGUCUAGGGAUUCACAAGUUGGGUUAAAUGGAAAGCAUGACCUCUCUUCUAGAUCUAGCUGGAUUGCUACUGGGUGUGAAGAUGGCACUGUGAGGUUGACAAGGUAUAAUUCAUUAUCAUUUAGAAAACUGACCUGAAAAUGAACAGAAUUUUUAUAACUUUAAUUAAUUGUUACAGUAUUAUUGGAUUUGUUUCUGCUUGUAUGUUUUGGGGUAGUGGGCAAGAGCACAAAGUUAUCUGCACACAUUUAUAGUUAAGAGUAUUAAUGAUCUGUCAGAUAUGCUGAUGGGUAUCCCAGCCUCCAUACCUCAUAAGCUACCCUCACCCUCCCCUCUCCCACCUCCGUUUCCUUAUUAUCAUAUAUUUUUGCAACUGAUAUGAUGGUUGGAUCUGUGAACUAAUAGAGUGAUGGACAAAUUAGGUAUUCUCCCGGUGUUGAGAAUUGGUUUUCAUCACAAUUGCUUGGAGAGCAUGUUGGUGGAUCAGCUGUGAGGUCAAUAUGCCCUGUAUCAAAGAUACACACAAUUCCAGCAGAUGCGACAAACAUGCCAAAUGGGACACAGAGACAACAUGCUACCUGGGACGGCAGAGAGAAUCCAUUCUUGCUAAUUUCUGUUGGUGCAAAACGGGUCAUAACUUCUUGGGUACUAAGAACUAGUACGAUAGACAACAAGGGAGAAGCGUCAGAUGAUGGAGUGCAGGAUAAAACUGGGAAGGGCUUUCCAUCAAUGUCAUUCCAGUGGCUUUCCACUGACAUGCCAACCAAGUAUUCUGGUAUUCGUAAGAAAACAGAAGACUUGGAGAACAUAGUUGGAAUUAAAAAAGCUUCGAGUGUGAAUAUUGAUGCAGAGUCUAGAUCACUCUUCCCAGAAAGAAAAGAGAUGCAAUUGAGAACUUGCAUUGGGGACAUGUAUGAAAAUGACUGGAGAUACCUUGCUGUUACUGCUUUUCUUGUUAAAGAUCCUGUUUCCAGGUGAUAUGAGAUAAUGAUGAUUUAUUGUUCUAGUUUGGUUUUCAAUUCAAAUUUUUCUUUUCCAUAUUAAUUUACCUUUUCCCUUUUACUUUGCCUCUGUUGCAGAAUUACUGUCUGUUUUAUUGUUGUUGGUUGUUCUGACGCCACACUUUCUCUGCGGGCUCUCAUUUUACCCAGUCGACUUUGGUAUUAUAUCAUGGCACCUUUCAUUCAGUUUAUUUAAUGGUUUUGUUGUAAAAUCCAUAGUGCGUUCUAAUAAUUCCACAUUCCCACUCUUUAUUGGCCACCUGGUGUCAUCUUUCUUUUUUUCUUUUUCUUCUUUGUUUUUCCAUUUUGUAAAUGUUUAUUUACUUCAUUGUAGGUUUGAUGUUGCUUUAUUGGUUCCCCAGUCAUCCCCAGUUUUGGCAUUGCAACAUGCUAUCAUCCCUUUAUUUCAGCCUUCUGAAGGUCAGUGCAUUGUCUGGACUAUUAAAUCUUAAUUUAGCAGAAAUAUUGUGGAAAUCUUAUGUCAAGCUUUCUGACCAUAAAUAUAGUUCAAAUAUGAUGCCCCCACCCAGCCGAACCCAAACCAAACCCCCACCACCCCAAUAACAAUAAUAACAAUAACUAAACAAUAAUAAGAAGAAGAAUAACAACAAACCAAUAAUAACAACAAAAACAAGAACAAUAAUAGUAAUACUUAAAUGCCAGCUCCAUAUUAGGGAACAGGUUGUUAGGUAACAUCAAGUCAAUAAAAGAGGUAGAAGAUGGGGAGGUCUUUACUCUAUUCCUAGCGGAAUAGCGAACUUCGGGGCUCUAGAAGAGGUUAAGGCCUUACUCUAUUCCUAGCAGAAUAGUGGCCUUAAUUUCUUUUUGGUAUAAUAUUAAUAAUAAGUAAAUAAAUAAAUAGAAUUUAUUGAAACAACAAUUUGGCCCAGUUAACUAACAUUAUUCAAUCGGUGUGAUUGAGAGAAUAACAAUUAAAUUAUUAGCCAAAAUAAUGUCUUCUCCUAAUUAGUUGUAGGCACUAUUUUGUGUUCCACACCACCCCCCUUCCUCUCCUCUCCCCCUACCCCAAUAAAAAUAGAUUAUAUCUUUAAUAAAAACAACUAGUCUCUAUGAACUUUGUUUGCAACAUUUUCAGCAUAGCUGUGAUAUCCCACAUCAAAUAGGGAAAAAAGUUCAUAACAUUAUAUAUGUAUGAACUCUUUUUAACCUUGUAAACGUAUUCUAAAGUCGUGAGGGCCCCUUUGAACCUAAAACAAACAAUAUUUACACAACUGGGAGUGGAUCGUUAUAAAUAGUAUCAAAGUCAAGUUUCAAUCCUGGGUAGAGGAAAAAGUUUUUAAUGCUAUAUAUAUGUAUGAACUCCUCUUAAUCUUGUAGACACAUUUUAAAGUUGUGAGGGUCCCUUUAGGCUUAACGCAGACAAUAUCUAGACAGUUGGAAGUUGGUUGUUACAAUAUUCCUCACAGUUUUAGUGUAUUUAGUGUUCACAAUUAUGAAAAGUGAAUUUUUCGCCUCCUUAUGAGGUGUGCCUCAGUGUUCACAAACUGUGCCUAAGCAUUGAAUUUUUAAUCAGUGUUCUCAUCAAGGGUAUGACUCAUGAACUGAGGCACAUAAAGUUACACCCCAAUGCCAUGACCCUUUCCACUAUAGUUGCAUUGCUAAAAUUCACAACAGAAAAUGCAUUUGGCAUGUGGAAUCAAAUGCAUGUUUUUAAAAUUACUUAUUUUAUAAUGUCCUAAUUUUGGCAUCCUAAUUCCUUAUAUUUUCUUCCCUGGAGUUGUUAAUUCCUGUUUAAUGGCUUGAUUAACAGAGAAGAUUCAGAUUGGAAAUGCAUAUAUUGCAAUCAGUGGAUCUACUGAUGGCAGUAUUGCCUUUUGGGAUCUGACUGAAAGUGUUGAAAACUUCAUGCUGCGGGCAUCAACUCUCCAUACAGAAAACUCUAUUGAUUGUCAGAAACGACCACGCACUGGAAGAGGAAGCCAAGGUGGACGAUGGUGGAGAUCAUUAGGCACCACUCCUAAGAAAAAACCCAGCGGCGGCUCAGUUUCCAUGAGAGUUGAAGAAGGAACUGGUGUUCUAAAUUAUGUUGCAUGUGGAACCUCUUCAAAACUUAAUGAUCCUGAAAACACUCCAACUGCUUGUUCUCAAGCGAUGUUCACUGCUUCCCUUGAGUCAGAAGUGAAUACAGAUGAUUCCUCAUCAGAAAUAUGUGAAAUAUCACCCUUACAUGUUUUGAGUAGCAUUCACCAAUCCGGGGUCAACUGUCUCCACAUUUCAGAUAUGAAUCAUUGUCAAAGUUUUAACAAUGGUUUUCUGUAUUAUCUUUUAAGUGGGGGCGAUGAUCAAGCACUUCACUGUCUUGGAUUUGAUUUGACACUGCUACCAACAAGCUCAGAGUCUCAGAUUAAGGCAGUAAAUGUAGAAAAUCCAACAACCAAAUUUGAAGAUAUAAAGAACUUAAAUCAUUGUAAACAGAACAAGAAUUACAGAAUCAGAUUUUUAUACCAUGACAGGGUAGCCUCAGCUCACAAUUCUGCUGUGAAAGGUAAAUUUUUUAAACUUGGUUCUUUAAUAUUUUUGCUGAAUUCCUUUGUUGUUGGACAAGCCCAAGUUGAGGUUGUGUCCUCAUUGUGUUUGAAUUCUUGCUCCCUUGAUGUCCUCAUCAUGUUCAACAAUUGUAAAUGAUCUAUGUUUCCAUCCCCCUUCUUAGUUUCUGAUGAUUGCCUAAACAUCACACAAAGGAUUGCUUCAUAUUAUGAAGCCUAGUAUAUUUAUAGGAACUAAAAAAACAAGGAAAUUUCCCUCUUUUUUUUCUUUUUUUUUUUUAAUAUAUUCAUUAGUUAGCUGAUAAUUUCCUUUUUCGAGAUGAUUUUCCAUAAAAGCAUCUGUGAAUGAUGAUAUUAAUUUCAAUUUUCAUGUACUGAAGGUAUUUGGACAGAUGGGACGUGGGUGUUUUCUACUGGUCUUGAUCAGCGUGUCAGAUGCUGGUAUCUUGGUGAGCAUGGUAAAUUAAUUGAACAAGCUCAUUUAGUAAUUAGUGUGCCUGAGCCAGAGGCAUUGGACGCUAGAGCCUGUGGCAGGUGAGUGAAGCAUCUGAUGUUAUUCUGACCUACUCCAUACAGCACUUCCUUAUGGAAGAAUAACUUCGCAUUGAAAAGUAUAAUUCUCUAAAUUGUUAUCUUUAUUUUUAUGGUGCUAUUUAUGUCUUUUCCAGGAACCAUUAUCAGAUUGCAGUAGCUGGAAGAGGGAUGCAAAUGGUUGAGUUCUCUGUAUCCCCUGACAUGGAUGGCAGAGGCGCAGAUGGCUUCUGCUGAUUUUGUGUUUCAAUCCAUAAGCUUUCGAGGAUGGGUAUGUGGUAUGUUAUUGUGCAUAUUGUUUUCUAGAUGUUAUUCAUGAAUGAAUUAGGGGUUCCUGCUGGGUAAAUCAUGAAGUUGGCAUCCUGAAGGCAUCUAUCUCCCUACCUUUGCAGGUGAAACCCAUCAUUUGAGGGGUUUAAACUUUGAAAGAUCUGAUUUAAAGAAUCGACUGCUCAGGUGGCAAAACAAUUCAAUUAUUACUUUUGGGAGGUUAAAAGAUGCAUAUAGUACACUGUCUUAAGAAAGAACAAUGGUAAUAAUUGGAUUAAGAUCAUGGUCAUCUGAGAUUUUGAUGUUGUUGGGCAAGAAUUGAACAAGUAAUUAAAGGCUGGGAAAGCCAUGUAUGCCUGCUGCUAGCUGGUCAUCCUCAAAGCUGCAUUGAUCAAUAAAUAAAGAAUUCCAAAUUAUGUUUGUGUAUCAGAGAGAGAGAGAGAGAGAGAGAGAGAGAGAAUUCCAAGUUAUGUUCUCUUUUUUCUUUCUGUACACUCAGCAAAAUGCAGUUGAUAAUUUUUUAUGCUGAAUGUUAAUUGGUUGAAAAUUUCUUUUACUUUCAGAGUGCGCUGCCCUUUUAACUUGUCACCAAUAUCUGAAAAGACUGCCGUUUAGAUCUGGGAAAGAUGCUUCACUUAAGGAGUAUAAAGAUGUCAUAUGACUCAUAUCUGCAUCAACUGACCUUGCAGGUGCUCCUAUCUCAACUUGCCCACAAUUUUUUAUUCAUCACUGAUGACCACACCAAUUUUCUUCUGAGGACUUUCAAAAGAUUGAAGGUUAUGUAUUUUAGUAGCCAUUGCUGAGUUCUGAUCUGACUAGUGAAACUGUCCCAUGCAGCUCGAUCCAGAUGAUAUGUAUUUUCUCUUUUUCCUUUUUGUAUAACAGAUUAGAUUUUGUUCAAUUUGGACGCCCAAUGAUUUUAGUACUUCUAAUCAUGAUGAAUACCACAGUACAUGGCAUAAAUUUACAAGCUUAGGUUACAUUUAGUGAUCUCACUUCCCAGGCACAAAGUUGGUGGCAUAGGCCCAGGCGUUGUUGUUCACUGGGUCGGCUAGAUGGUCAGCAAGGUUCUCCAAAGGUCCUUUGCCGGUUACAAUAGCCUGCACAAAGAAACCAAACAUGGAGAACAUGGCAAGACGCCCGUUCUUGAUUUCCUUCACCUUAAGCUCAGCAAAUGCCUCAGGAUCAUCAGCAAGUCCCAAUGGGUCAAAGCUCCCACCUGGGUACAGAGGGUCAAUCACCUCACCAAGAGGUCCUCCUCCAAUGCGGUACCCCUCAACAGCACCCAUGAGGAUAACCUGGCAAGCCCAUAUGGCUAAGAUGCUCUGAGCAUGAACUAGACCCGGGUUCCCAAGGUAGUCGAGACCACCCUCGCUGAAAAUCUGAGCACCAGCCUUGAACCACACUGCCUCACCAAACUUGACUCCAUUUCUGGAGAGAAGCUCAGGGAAGACACAUCCCAAAGCCCCAAGCAUUGCCCACCUGCAGUGAAUCACCUCGAGCUCUCGGUUCUUGGCAAAGGUUUCGGGAUCUGCUGAUAGUCCUGCAGUGUCCCACCCAUAGUCACCAGGGAACUCACCGGUAAGGUAGGAUGGAGGCUCACCAGAAAAUGGUCCCAGGUACUUAACACGGUCAGGGCCAUACCAGGGGCUUCCAGAUGGCUUCGCAAAUGACUUCCUCAUUGAGAUUCUACCAUCGCCGCGAACCUUCGAUGAGAACUCUGUGCCUGGGUUCAACGGAACCACCUUGCCUACAAAUGGAGAUGAGAGAGCCAUGGUGGCCAUGUGAUAUGCCUGGUGCUGGGUGCUGAUGAUCCUAGUGAUUGAUUUGUUGAGUUUGGGAUUUCAAGAGUUUUCUUAUAUAAGGGUCUGGUGAGGUCCACAAUCCUAUCCCGUAGAUCUUCACCCUUGUCCUCAUUGGUCCAUGAGGUGCUUGCAUGGAUUCAAAAAUCCAACUCAUCCUCCCGGCCAAUCAAUGAAGGUUAUAAUAGAUUUUCUUCAAAUUAUUGUGAGAUUAUCCACAACCUAAAGUCAGUUACCUCUUGUGGGCUCCCAUUGGAGUUCAGAAUUUUAUAUCCUAUGACCGGUUGCUAUCUACUUCUUAUCAAGACCAGUUUUAUCAGGUUAUGAUAUUCUAUCACCAGGCUAAAAAUUUCACUUCCACAUGAAAACGUUGGAAACUUCUAUAGUAUGAUGUUGAAAUGCAAAAGUUAUAACUUAGAUGAAAAAAUUUUAUGACCAAGGUACAAGGUAGAGCAGAAGUUGGUGAGGCUGGCUUGAUUGAGACCUGGCAUUUGGGUGGGCUUGGACUUAAUUGGGUUGAGGCAAUUUUUACCCUAUCAUAUAGAGUACUAUAAGAUUAAGCAUAAUUCUACGUGUCUACCAAAGAUGGUAAUCCAAAGGUUCCAAACAAUUCAUGGAGGUAUAGGUUCCACCUAAGAAAAGGGAAUCCCAAAAUAGUAUAUGGCCGAGAUAUGGACACCACUCGAAAAAAGAGAAUCUGGAAAUAGUAAAUAGCAAGUGAAGAUGCAAACACGACUUGACAAGGGGAACCCAAGAAUAUCUUAUAGUAAGCAGGGGUACAAGCACUACUUGAGAAAGGAAAGCAUACGGCAAAUCAAGAUGCAAAAAGAAGCAAAGAUAGUCCAAGCUAAAGAAAGUUAUGUUAAACUCUAAAUCUGAAUUCAAGAGACCAACACCAACUCUAAAAAGGAGGUCGUACACAAGCAUUGACUUGGUAAUAAUUCAUAGAACUUAAACCUUUGAAAAAAAAAAACAAAUAGUCUUUCAUUUAAAUUAAGAGAAUGUAUGUUCUGAUAAAAAAAAUAUAUACUUGUUACAAUUAAUAAAAAUAAUAAAUUUGAUAAUUGAAAAAAUAAUUAUAACGUUUUAUUAAGAAACAAAUUAAAAACUUCCAAUAUAUUCCAAAUCUCUUUUAAGUAUUAUUUUCAAUUAAGGAAUAAUAUUUCAAAAGAAAAAAAAUUACCUAAUAGGUUUCAAAAAUCUCCUCAAAUGGUAAAUUUAAUUAAGGAAUAACAUCUUUAAAGAAAAAAAAAACUAUACAAAUAAGGAUCUUUGGAUGCUCCCAAGACAAAUCACAAGAAAAUCUCAAGUUUCAGACUUUAAGCUAUUCAAACUCUCAACCUUUCAAGCCAAGCCGAGAUUCAAAUCAAGUCAAGGUCUAAGUUAUGAGAAGACUCAAAACUAGAUUAAGUCAAAAUUCAAAUUAAGCUCAAACAUUUCGAUAUCAAACUUCUACAAGGAUUAAAUUAACAACUAUAAACAUGAUUUUUCUUAAAGAGAAAUUUGUACACAUAUUUACCUAAAAAUAUAUUUCCCAAAAAUAACAUGUAAUAGAUCAUACCAACAACAUCCCUUGAAGAGAUUAAAAAUCAAUCCACACUUCUAAGCACAAAAAAUAUACAAAGAAAAGAGAAGUCAUCCUUCAUUAUCUCCCAACUCUUUUGUUAGAGAUGUUUUUUCCCCCUUAAUAAUGUAACCCGAAAUGCUACUUAAAGUUAUCUUCAAUAGAUUGGCAGAAUGGUUGUAGGAUGAAUGUGACAAACGAUGGAUGAAUUAAAAAUAUCCCAUACAAAACGUUUUGAAUGUCCAUUAUCUUAUAAUAAUAUCAUGAUGUAUAUGAUUUGAGUUGUUUUUUCCUUCUCAAUAUAACAUCUAUAGUAGUGUGAGUCACAACACUCCCCAUGCCCAUGUUGGCAUGUUCCAUGUUGAUUAAAUAAAUAUUUCAUAUAUUAUUCCUAAUAUAUUACAUGUUUAAUAAUUAGGUAAUAUUUAAGUUUAUAUUUUUUAUAUGAUUAUUAUUUGUAUCGGAUUUAAUUUACCUAUAUAGUAAAAUAUUUAUAUUUUGACAUAAUUCAAACAUGACCCAUCAACACAAAUUAUUAUCAUUAAUUUUAAUGUAACAUUUAUAUUUUGAUUAUAUAAGAAAUAUUUUAAAAUAUUUGAAGUAAUAAUAUUUAUUUAUAUAUUUAAAAUAACAAAUAAGUUAUAUUUGGUUUUAAAAAUCAAUUACGCAUCAAUUUAAUCCUUAGAUUUUUAUUUAUUUUUUAAGAUAUGACAAUCACAUCUACUAUGUCUAUUAAUUUAAUUCAAAUGUCUUGAACGAUAACCAUACUCCACAAUUGCCAUGUUUUAUUUUCCAUGUUGGGUUUGUGUUCCGAGUCUGUCUACCAACCAAUCCAUCCAUCUUGAGAAAUGGAGUGUGUGAGAAGUCCACUAGGAGCAAGAACCAGACAGGGCACUGCACCAACCUUCUGGGAGUUCCCCAGAAAACACACAUCCGUGACCUGUCAUUGGGAAGUGGGAACCCCACCUAUCAAAUCCCAACUGCCGCACUACUUCCCCUCAGUUGUUGCCACGUCCAUUUGGGCUUAGCCUCAGCCUCUUAGCCUUCAACUCAGUGCCGCUGGUGGCUCGGUGUGUUCGGUCAUCAUUCACCAACCCCCAACUCCAACUCUACGAACCACGAUUUUCUCAGACAGGAGUUGGUGAGGUGGAGGACUUUUCAGGUCAGUUAGGUAUUAAGUUUUACCCUACGCUUCUAAGUCUUCUGGUUGUUUGACCAAUUUUGGUUGGGAGUCGAAGUAAAGCUGCACUCUCUAAAAAAAAUUCAUUUUGAUGAACUUAAAAAUAAUAAUUAUAUAAAUAUGCACUUUAAUAAUAACUAUUAUAAAUUUAGAAAGUUUUUGUGAGCUUUUUUCUUUCAUGACUCAUUAUUAUUAUUUUUAAAUAUGCUAGUUAUAUAUUUUAUAAAAUCUUCUUAAUUUCAUUUUUUUCAUCGUCUAAGAUCAUAUUUUAUGAAUUAUUUUUGUAGAACCUCAGUCGCUAUCAACUCUCCUAAAAGCAAUUGUUGUUAGAAAAGGCGCAUACCCUAAUCUUAUACUACAUUCAUCAAAGCGCCCACGGCGAACACAAUAGGAGUUGAUGGACUCGACCAACCUUCCGAUCUGCCAACAAUCUCUCCAAACCCCCCCCCUCCAGCGACACCCCUGGGGUAGCAUUCAUCCAAGCGCCCACGGCGAACACAAGGGGAGUUAAUGGACUCGACCAACCCUCCGAUCUACCAACAAUCUCUCCCCUCCACCCCCAGCGACACCCUUGGGGUAGGAAAGACGCAUACCCUAACCUUAUACUGUAUUCAUCCAAGCGCCCACGGCGAACACAAGAGGAGUUGAUGGACGCGACCAACCCUCCGAUCUGCUAACAAUUUCCCCCCAAACGAUACCCCUGAGGUUCGAACCCGUAAUCUCGACUCUGAUACCACUUAUAGGAUGUCAAGCACUACCAACUCUCCUAAAAGCAACGCUGAGGUCUUACAAUUUUUUUUCAAAAUACAUACACUUUGAAAAUAAAAUGGUCAAACUUCUUAAAAAUGUAAUAUUUUUUAAAUAGUGUAUGUUUAUAUCAUUCUCCCGAUACAAUAAGUGAAUAACACCAGGCAUGAUUGUACUAAAAUUAUUAACACCCUUCAUGAAAACCAUUUCAUAUUUUUAAAAAUUAAAAUUAAAAUAUUUUCUAACUUCAAAAAAAUAUUUAAUAAUUUUUUUAUAGGAAGCUCUUUUUAAAAAUUUGUUUUAAUAACUUUUGUUUUUAAAAUAAAUUUAAUUUAUUUUUAGUCAUUUUAAAACUUUUUUUUUAAAAUAUUAUCAAACAAAUCCUGAAUUUCUAUUAUAAAAGUCAUGAAAAAUUAUUUAAAAAAUUACUAUUUUUAAAUUCAUGAACUAUUGAAUCUUCACCCAUACAAGAAAAGAAAUAUGACACUUUCUUUGAACCUAUUCUCCAAAAUUUCUCUUUGAUCGGAACUCAUAUCACUUGUCUCCAUCUUUAUUAUUUUUGGCACCACCUUUAGUGUUAUUAUUGCUUAUUGAUAUCUUCAUAUCUUGAAUGGUUGAGACCAACUUUGAAGUGGUGAUGUUGCUUCAAAGAUAAGAGAACAAAAGGCUCAUGUUGAUAACUUCAUUCUGCCGUGCUCAAGUGGCUUCAUAUUUUGUCAUCUGAAUAAAAAAUAAUUUUUGUAAAAAUAAAUAAAAAUGAAAAACUAUUUAAUUAAAAUAAAUUUCAAAAUUUACUUCCUUAAUAAUUUUUUUUUCAACCAUUUUGUUCAAACAUUUUUCUUUUUUACUUAUUUUUAAGUUUUGACCAGGACAAAAUAUGAAUUAGUGCUUAUACUACAUUAUUUUAAUUAAAAAAGAUUAUUAAAUUAAGUUAACUUCUUUCCAUUUGCUGGAUUUUGUAGAUAUUUAAUAAAACUUAAUACUUAUAACUUAAUAAUUUAAAUUGAUCUUAAAUUAAAUUGUUUUUAAGUUAUUAAUUUAAAACUUAUUACUUAUUUUUACUUUUAAUUACGUUUGAUAAAAUUAAUUUAAAAUUUAUUUUAAGUUAUUAAAUUGACAUAUUUAUACUCAUUAGUUAUAAUUAAUAUUUAUUAUUAAAAAUAUUUAAUUAAUAUUUAUUUUCAUAAAAGAUGAGUAAUGAAUGUGAAGUUAUAGUUGUAAAAUAUAUUUUUAUUAUAUUUUAAUAAAUAAGAUAAUAUAUAUAUGUGUGUGUGUGAUUAAUAAUAAGUUAAUUAUUUUGACUUAAUACUUAAAGUCAUUUUUAAUUUUAAGUUAUAAUAUUAAGAUAUUUUACCAAAUAUACUCAAUAACUUAAAUUAUUAAGUUAUUAAAUUACUUUUAAGUCAUUAAGUUGAUUUACCAAACAUCCUUCUUUAAUUUAACUUUUACCUUUCUAUAUCCAUGUGAAAUGAAAAUGUAAAUGAAGUAUAAUCUAUUAAAAAUUAUUUAGGGUUUAAUACACUUUAUCCUCUCAACCUAUCUCAUGUUUUGCACAUUGCCCCUUUAGGUUUAAAUCGAACACAUUGCACCUUAAGCUUCUUAAAUUGCAGCAUUUUGCCUUUUCACGGGGUUAGUUUAGGCCGUGAUUGAUCGAUAAAGGGUAGAUUUUUAAAUUCCUAAAUCCAAUAAGUCUCUCACCCCUAACCCUGUUUGGCCGAGAAAAUGUAAAAACAAAACAAAUCAAAGUUUUUAAAUUGUAUAUCCAUCAAUGUUACUACAAUUAGUUAACAUAGUUGAGUUGAGUAGAGAUUUCAAUUUCCUUACAAAAACCAUAUCAAAGAAAACCCACAAUAACUUAAAAUUCCAAUCUUUCCUCUUUUCCUUCACUUUCUUAACAACCAAACAACAAGAACAUGUAAAGUCAAACCACCAAAAUCCCACCUUUCACCAAGCAUUGCACAUACAAACAAUUUCACCCAAAUGUGCACCAUUCAAAAUCAAUCCAGUAACCAAAAACCAAAAAAAAAAAAAAUCAUUCCAAUAAUCACACAAAAAAUUGUCUAUUUGCAUACCCCCAAAUUUCAAAACUCCAAGCUCCCUUAGCUCCUUCUUCAGAGGCGAAAGAUCUAUAAUGCAUAAGAAAAGAAUCUAUGAUUAGGGUUUGAAAAUUGGAGUAAGAAGGAGGAGAAGAUAGUAAGAAGACAAAGACAAAAUGCUAAAAUUGUUGACCACCUUUUGAUUUGAGAAUUUACAAAAUCUACCUUUCAUUAGUUAGUCACAUGCAACACGUGAUAUUUUCGUUUACUUAAACUAAUACCGUCCAACAAAAAAAGUAAAGUAUUGUAAUUUAAAAAGUUUGAGGUGUAAUGUGUUGGAUAUUAAACCUAAAAGGGUAAUGCGCAAAAUCGAUUACUUAAUAUGGGUUUAAUUUCCAAAUUAAUUUUGACACUUUAAAAGCUAAAACGAAAACAAUUUUGGGUAAUUGUGCGUAAGUGGAGCCAAGAUGACGUACCUCAGUCUCACAACUUCAAGCGAGCCAAGCCGACGCCAUCAGCCAUCAGCCAUCAGCAAUUAAGCCGAUAACCGGCGAGAGUUGGUGAGUAACCGCCUAUUGCCUGUAACAUCUACUCCCGUAAUAAUUAUUAAAUUAAAAUCACGAAGAAGUCAUGCAAUUACAAGACCCUAAAAGUAAAACACACACCCGAACAAAGCGGUGUCGUUUUCACUUACCAACCUUCACCAAUCCCAGAUUAUGAAUAUCUGACAUCCAACGGUAACAAACCCUCACGAAACUCAUCACCAACCGUCGGAUCAAGAUUCCACGCAAAAACCCACAGAAUCCCACUUCUCAGCCGGUACCCGGUCUCCAGAUCCAUUCAUCUAUAAAUAGUGGUGCAAAGUCCUGAGUAGUUGAACUCUCCAUCCGUCAACAGAGCAAAGCUUGAGAUCUGCUCUCGCACUACUUCUCUUUAUCUCAGGUAUUCUUUCUCUCCGCAUCAUCUUCUUCUUCUUGUUUUGGAGUUCGUUUGUGUGGUGAUGCUGCAGAAAACAAUGUGUUUUUGUUUUCAAAAACGCUCUCGGAGUUGUUUUCUGUUGUGUGAUCGACUAGAUCUGGUUGUUGUCAGCAUUUAUUUGCUUCCUGUUUUGCGUUUCUGGAGUGAUACUUCGUUUCUGAGUGAGUUUGAUUGAAACAGUGGUAGAUCUGGUUUAUUUUCAGUAAGAGUUUUGAAAUUUGGAGAUCUGGAAGUUUGUGAGUUGUGAUUUUGGAUGUUUACACAUUAAUGCUGUUGAGUACCGUAUAAUAAAUGAAUUAUCUUAAUUUCUUGAAAGGAUUGCGUAAAAUGGGUUUCAUAGAGUGCUUUUGCAGAACUUGUAAGCAAGGACACUGAGAUUUUGAGCUGACUGCAAUGUCUAAGCAAUUGUUAAGUGAGUUUUUGAGAUGUAGUAUUUGUCUGAUAUCUCACACAUUUUCGGAGUGUUUUUCUGUGUAAAGCUGUUAAUGUUUCUCCUUGUCUGUUUCGUUCUUCAACUUGAUUUUGACGCCUUAGUCUCUCAGAUCUGAUGGUAUUUUGGAAUGUUGUGUUGGCUAGUUUACGGUAAUUUAGAGAAAUCUCUGUUCUCACAGGAUGGACUUAUAGAAUGAACCGUAUUGGGAAACAAAUGGUAGGACGUGGUAUAAUGCCUGUAGGGAAGUCUUUUGUAAACAAAGAAUGAUUGGUUUUUUGGAUUGAUCGUCAAGAGCAUGGAUGGUAAUUUUUCGAAAAAUCGGCCGAUUUAAUAGUCGUGUCUAUUCACGAGGUUCCGGAUGGUAUGGCGUUGCCCUUCCAAAAGCUUAUUUGGGGAAUGCAUUAUUUUUCAUAAUCUUAAUAGUGCUCCAUCUCUAUAGCUAUUCUCUUCUCUUCGAAGGAUUUCUUUUAGUAGUGUCCAUUUCUAUUUUGCUUAUACUUUAAGGUCAGGAAUUGUUCGACAAUUAAUUCAGGGGUGGAUAUGCUGUUGUACCCCAGUUGUGGAGAUUUCAACUGCCAGUACGAGAAGUAGUAUAAUGGGUGUGUAGUGUAUUACUAAUUACUGAAAAACGAAAAUGCAGAAGGCUUUGCUUGGAUCUCAGAAAAGAUGUGGGUAAGGGAAGUUACUGCUAAAUAAAUUUUAUGAGAGGAAUUCUUCUUUUACCUAAUUUUCAUCAUUUUCCGAGCAUUUUUCACAUUCUUUUCAUAAUCCAAAUGUAGCAUAAGAAAAUCUCGCAGAAGUCUCCUAAAUUUUGCCAAAAGAAUAAUAUGUUUUUGUAGUUACAAUAAAUUUACUUGUUUUUCUCCAAGCUGAUGGAGUUGACACUAUGGUUUGUAACACGUUUUACUGCGUUCCAGAUUCCUUACAACUUUAUGUCAAAACAGUAAAGAAUCUGCCCUUUUUCCUCUUUAAUUAUUCUCCUGGGAGUAGACUUUUGUGGGUCUGAUUCUCUCUCCUGGUGAACUCUGACCCUCCAUAGUAGUGAAAUGAUUCGACAUACCAUGUGUCAGUUAACCAAUCAUGAAGAACAUACAUGUUUUUUUAUUCUUUCUAGUAUAUUCUUAUCAAUAGGAUUUGUUUAUAUUAACCUCAAUAAAGCUUCUUGUCUAAGGAGUUAUUGUUCAUCAAUUUAUACUAAGGCAUGCUGUUGUGCUUGUGGCCUGUGUAGCUUGAAAGAAUGGAGACCUUCCUAUUCACUUCUGAGUCUGUAAAUGAGGGCCAUCCCGACAAGUUGUGUGACCAGAUCUCUGAUGCAGUGCUUGAUGCUUGCCUUGCUCAGGACCCUGACAGCAAGGUUGCCUGUGAAACAUGCACCAAGACCAACAUGGUUAUGGUGUUUGGAGAGAUUACCACCAAGGCCGAUAUAGACUAUGAGAAGAUUGUCCGUGACACAUGCCGCACCAUUGGAUUUGUCUCUGAUGAUGUGGGUCUUGAUGCUGAUAACUGCAAAGUCCUGGUCAACAUUGAGCAGCAGAGCCCUGAUAUUGC